AUACAGACCAAUUGCAACGAAUCUUGCGAGAUCGUUUGAAUGGUAAGAGAUACUUGCUUGUUAUGGAUGAUGUAUGGAACGAAGAUCCUGAAGCAUGGCGUAAAUUAAAAAGCUUAUUGUUGGGAGGUGCUAACGGAAGCAAAAUUUUGGUAACCACACGUAGCAGGAAGGUUGCUUCAAUCAUGGGCACGAGGGGAGGUACUAUUGGCUACAACUUACAAGGUCUACCAUUCGAGGAUUGCUUGUCUUUGUUUAUGAAAUGUGCAUUUAAAGAAGAGCGAGAUAAACAUCCAAACCUCAUAAAAAUCGGGGAAGAAAUUGUGAAAAAAUGUGGGGGAAUUCCUCUGGCAGUCAGAGCACUAGGAAGUCUAUUAUAUUGCUCAACGGAUGAACAUGAUUGGGAAUAUGUGAGGGGUAAUGAGAUAUGGCAGUUAGAGCAAAAGGAAAGUGGCAUUUUACCUGUUCUGAGGUUAAGCUACGAUCAAUUGCCGCCUCAGCUGAAACAAUGUGUUGCUUAUUGUUCAAUCUUUCCCAAGGAUUAUGAAUUUGAUAGUUAUACUUUGGUUCAAUUUUGGAUGGCUCAUGGUCUUCUCCAAUCCCAUAAUAAGAAUGAAGAGUUAGAAGAUAUUGGUAUGCGGUACUUGAAGGAAUUACUAUCAAGAUCUUUCUUCCAAGAUUUGACUUUUGGGAUGUUUGGAUUGGAUUUUUUUUUUUUCAAAAUGCACGACCUUAUGCAUGAUCUUGCCCUGCUAGUGGCCAAAGAUGAAUUCCUAGUAGUGAACUCUGAUUGUCAAUUUAUUCCCAAAAGUGUCCGUCAUUUGUCAUUUGGUACUGCUAAUGCAUCAAGAAAUAACUUUUCAAGCCUUUUAUUUGAUCUAGGUCGUGUGAGAACCAUUUUCUUUUCAACUGAUGAUGAUGAGAAGACAAGCCAAUCAUUUGUUGAAUCAUGCAUCUCAAAGUCGCAGUUCCUAAGAGUGCUCAAUUUAAGUGAAGCUGCUAUUGAGGUUUGUCCCAAGAAGAUAGGAAAUUUGAAGCACAUGAGAUAUCUUGAUCUGUCGAAAAAUUAUAAAAUCAAGAAACUUCCAAAAUCCAUUUGCGAGCUACAGAGUUUACAAACACUGGAUCUUGAAGGAUGUCUGGAGCUAGAAGAGUUGCCUAAAGACAUAAGAUACCUUGUCAGUCUCAGAGUGUUUGCGCUAACCACAAAACAGAAGUCUUUGCAAGAGAGUGGAAUAAGGAGCUUGGGUUCUCUUCGUUGUUUGACAAUUUCUGGUUGUAGGGAUUUAGAACAUUUGUUCGAGGAGAUAGAUCAGUUAAGUCUCCUUCGAACAUUAUCAAUUGAAGGUUGUCCUCGUCUAAUCUCAUUGCCACCUGCUAUCAAAUAUCUCAGCUCAUUAGAGACUCUGCUUUUGGUUAGGUGUGAAAGCCUUGAUCUUAAUCUGAACGUGGAAAUGGAAGGUGAAGGAAGUCAUCAUGAUCGCAAAAACACAAGGCCUCACCUUCGGAGGGUUUUCAUCGGGGAAAUAACACAGUUAUUAGAACUGCCACAAUGGCUUCUUCAAUGUUGUACUGAUUCUUUACAGAGCUUGGUAAUUUCUGAUUGUCCCAACUUCAUGGCACUACCAGGGUCUCUAAAAGAUCUCGAAGCUCUUGAAACUCUUGUCAUUGCACAAUGUCCAAAAUUGUCAUCGUUGCCGGAGGAUAUGCAUCACCUCACUACUCUGAAAUUAUUGGCCAUUGGAGGAUGUCCUGCACUGAGUGAAAGAUGCAAACCGCCAACAGGUGAAGAUUGGCCCAAGAUUGCACAUAUCCCUCAGGUUCAUCUUGAUGGCGAGAUGAUUGAAUCAAGUGAUAAUUAGGUAUGGAUUUUUUUUUUUUCAAUAAGCGUACCACUCUGUUAUAUUUCCUCUUUUCAUGCAGCUUUCUAAUUUUUAAUUUCUCAUACAGCUAUACCGUUUAUAGUUUAAUGUUUUGUUAUGUUUACCAAACGAAAACUUGACUUUGAACGUUAGUUAGUUCAAUCAAAUUUGUACUAAUUUAUUUUCUUCUAAUACAUAAUUAGGUUGUCAGUACGAAAAACAAAAAUAAUAUUUUGGAAACCGCACUGUUCUAGGGGUCAGAUCUGUUUCUAAAUUCAAACAGUUCAGGAUUUUUCAAAAUGAGAUAUUUUUUUUUAAUUAUCUAGUUAUCUUCAUAUGGAAUUUCAAUCUUUGUUAAUACUUUAACUUGCGCCGAAACAUCUAACAAUUCUUCCUCUUAUCCUUUUUUUUUCCCAAAUAUUGCAGCUUUCUUGGGAGAGGUUCAACAAAACUGCAGGGACAGUGAAAAUAUUACUCUAACGUUGUUCAGAACAGAGCUUCAACGGUUUUAAUGUUGUGUUUUAAAGUUACAAGCAUUAUAUAUUCGUUACGUGUGGUUAUGUAAUUUGCUGAUAAAUAAGUACAUUGAGUGAGGUAUAUGUGUGUGCCUGUGUGGUCAUUACUGAAUUUCUCAGUAAUAUAAUUUGCAUUGACUGCAGAUUUGUGAAGAACAUUGAUACCAAACAUGUGGUGUCUGUAUUUUGUGCUUUGUGAUUCACAGCGAGUUUGCAAGAACGUGUACAGAGGAAUAAGGCAGAGGCCAUGGGAGAAAUGGGCAGCUGAAAUUAGAGACCCUUACAAGGGCGUCCGCGUUUGGCAAGCUGCAAGAGUUUAUGCUGACGUCGCCGAGAAUAUCCGUGGCAACAAGGCCUAGCUCGACUUUGCUCACCGGCCGCCAGUAACUCCACCUCCAGGUAAGAAACGCUUCGUGCUAUCCCGUGAGUUGACUCAGCCGAGUUUCGGAGAUUACUUUUUUAUUGGUUUUCAUUGAUUUCUUUUCCUGCUCUUAUCUACGAGGUUGUGCUCUCCCUUGGAUGCCCUUUAAUAAACAGCUUUCCUAAUAACAACUGAAGCGAAAAGUCAUUUUAUCAAAUAAUUUGGUGAAAUUUCAAGUACUUUCAUCUUGGUUUUUGCAGUUAAUAGGAAAUAGUUUGGUGUUGGGAUGUGGUAUAUGUAUCAAGUUCUUAUUGCUGGUGAACAUUACUGGUUUAGUGUGCGAUCGUUUACUAUCACUGCAUGCAUUAUCAGUUUAUUUUAUUGAACUAUCCCAAAUCAGUAACGAAUCCUCAAUUCCCUCUGUUUUCUUUGGAUCCUAGUAGUGUUUGGCAUGCAUCAACUAGUGUUCAUGCAUGUGUCGGUUCGUCAUAGAGAACUUCAGCACACAUACAACAGCCCUCAUUUCUCCUUGCUCCAACCAAUCGAUGGCAGAAUCAUCACAGACACCUUGAGCUCUGUCGAAUCAUCAUAGACAAUUUGUGAUUAGUGGGAGCAUUACACGAAAGUUACGAUUACUUCAAACUGUUAGUUUGUUUAUAUGAUUCGGCUAUAGUUCUAUAAUUGGUGAGUUUUUGUGGGUUUGUUUGAUAUUUUUUUGUGGGUUUGUUUCUCAUAAUCUUUAUCCAGUCAAAGCAAACGUUCGCCUCUCACAUUGACGGUUAGGCUAGAUGUUUGACCCUGAAUAAGAUGAUUGAGUUUAUUAUAGUCUUCUUAUAUUGUCGGUUCAAUAUCAUUUUGAAAUAUCACAUCAAUUCCGCUUUUGGAGUUUUAAUCCAUGCCCAGUUACACCUUUAUUUUACUUUUAAGCUGCAACAUUGAGUCACAUUCUUUUUCUGUUAUUAUUACGAUUAGCGACUGGUACAGUGGUAUUUGAACUGCAUAGCGUGUCAACAUUCACUCUAAAUGUCUUAGAAACUGUCUAUCACUAAUUUCCUAGAACAGGCCUCGUUGACAGUCAAAGAUUUGAGGCGUAUUUCUGGAUUGAAGGCUUUUCUCUAGUCAAUUUGAUGAUAAGCGCAUUUAUUAUCUCCAGCAUUAAGCAGUAAUUUGUAACUAGCUGUAGCCAGUACCUAAGAUGUUGCAUUUGACUGUCUUGUCUUUCUGGUUCAGUUUCGACCUUUGGAGCUGUUUUAGACAUGGGAACGGAUAGGUAAUUUCUCUCUACCCCACCCCCCAAUGUAUCAUUAGUCAUCAUUCGUUCUGGUUGGUGGAGAUACACAUACUAAUUUGGAUUAUUGUCCGUGCCUUCGUCUUUUGUCAAUAAUCUUUUGCAUUUCAGGAUUAGUACAGCUUGUCUACUGGUAAUACUCUCUCAACUAUACAGGUAAGACUUUGUUACGUUUUCUUGACCCGUAAUCUAAUGUUUUAAGAUGAAGGCAUAAUUGAGCUAUUUUGCAUCUCCAUGCAGGCCUGGUUUGGUUUUUGUGUCACUAUCUGCAUUAGAUAUUGGUAGUCAAUGGCUGCAGAUGUACAGGUACCUUUUCGUUUCCCUGACAUAAUCUCAUGUUACAUGAAAUUGCACGUGGAACUGGGAGAUUUUUUAUUUUUUAUUUUUUCAUAUUUACUAAAGAAAAGUGUUACUUUCGUUGGGAAAAAUGCCUACCACUCUCUAUCUCUGUUGCAGUACAUUCUUAGCAGGAAAAACUAGCCAUAAAGAUGCAAAAGACAGCACAAAUUGGCUUUUCAAAGCCUAUUAUGGGAACGGGAUGUUUAUGGGUUAUUGUUGUGUGGUGUGUGAGGUAAUUGUAGCUUUCCGUGUUAUUAUACAUAUCAGGAUUUGCAAAUGUUAUCAGUACUUUUUACCUGAUCCAACUGUUUCAACCCUGCAGCUUCUUUACCUAAUCCUAUUUCUUAUUGCGGAGAAGCAGAGGGAAAGCUUGGUGGAUGUAGGCUCUCAUUUUCUUGCUAUUAGAUUGUUCUGAAAAUAGAAAUAUUUCCCCUGUUUCUCGAUUUUCAAACAAUUUCUUCUUUCAGGUUGUGGCGAGUGCUGUGCAACAGGGUUCGCCUCUUUCCUUCCUAGUUGCAUUGAGUUUAUUCGCAUGGGCGCAAUCAAGCAAACGAUUAAUGUCGUACAGGUAACUUCAACCCCAUAUGAUGGUAAUGUUCGUUUAAAUAAAUUUCUUGAUGUCUACAAAUUAAGAAAACCUUUGUAUGGGUAAAGUUGACAUUUUACACUGGCAUUAUGGAUCUUGAAAUCGGUCUCUUUUAGAUUCACAUGCUGUGAUAUGCUCUAAUGUUAAAACUCAAACCUUUUCUGUAUGUUAAAUGGAUUGUCGUGGAUAUGCCUGGGAUGAUCAUUUUCUUCGUUUUCACUCAUCGUCUUUGUCAUCGUAGUUAUAAUUUGAUUGUGGAGAGUGAAAACGCACUGUGAUGAAUGAAUGCAAAAGCUAUGUAAUUAAGACUACAUUUAUUAGGUUGGUGACCACAAAUAAUCGGAAGGAUAUUCACAAUAGUGUUAUUGAAGCUCUAUAUGGAAUAAGGAGACCAAACCUGUAUGUGAUAAGAGUUGUAUGAAUACCAAAUGAAUUGUCAGAGGAUAUGGUUACUUUAGAUUGCUUGAGUUCUAAAAGCACAGAAGUGGGAUCAGUCUCUUGCUCGAGGGUAAACUCCUUCGUCAGUUAGUGAACUGUCCAUCAAAAGUAAAUAUUUAUGUGAUUGAGAGAAAUUUUGGAUUUUUGAUGAAAACAAAAAUCCUGUAUGCAUUUGCUUGCCCCCAAGGAGCUGAAGAUUCUCAAAUUGUUUGUAGACGUAAUAGUUCUUCUGAUAUCAUUUGGCUUGCUAAUCUUUCUUGCUCGAAAAUUUACCCGUUGUGUGGUCUUGAUGGUGGGUGAAAUUGAUGUGUGGUUUCAGAUGAAGACGGCAGCAGAUAUGUGUGUGCCAUAUGACAUCGAGAAAAAGCAAAAACCUUAAAGAGUUCAUCAACAUUUUCCAUUCAGAAGAAUCUGUUUUGUGGUUUUCAUGCUCGAGUGCCUACUUUUCAGUAUGCAAGCAGAGGAUUUGGCAUUAAUUUGGGGAAGCCUUUUUUUUGGGUAUAUGAGUGUGUUCAUUCCUUCAAUCACGUAGCUUUGUGCCAUUAACAUAAUGGCAAUUCCACAAUUGUGAUAAUGAUAAUUUUAUGAUUGGGGCAUAUUGUUAGGAAUUCUUUACUGGUUUUUCUUUCCCCAUCUGUGUCUAUGAUUAAGGUUGUUUAAGGUGUUAUGGCUUUUAAUCUGCAAUCAUUGCGAAAGGGACUCACUAGCCGGCAAAUAGUAAAACAUAGUGCUGUCAGAUUUAUAAGGAUUAUAUAUGUUUGGGAGAAAUAUGUCGACGAGACCAGGCAUGGUGAGCAGAUAUCUGAUGGCAGAGUUCUACAAACCGGUGUGUUCCGUAAAAGCCUGGUGCGCGGGGGAACAGGAGCAGAAAUAUCCUGCUCGUCCACGAGCACAUCAUCCGCGAGGCCAAUAUCCUGUAAGAGGCAUAAGGCCAUUCCGGCUAGAGGUCGAGAGGCGAGGAGACCCGGUCGACGGCAGUUGGCAAGACAUGCUCUCCAGCCCGAGAAUCUAGGCACGACAGCCACACUUUCCCCAGAACCACGGCGGAACACGCAAGAUCCCACGUUUGCCCAUAACGCAGCAUAACUCAGCAGUCGGAGUCCCAUACCGUCCCCCAAAAAACGGAAACAAGAUCUCACAGAACCACGACAGCCACGCUUUCCCCAGAACCGUGGCGUAACACGCAAGAUCCCACGUUUGCCCAUAACGCAGCAGUCAGAGUCCCAUACCGUCUCGAAAAAAGCAGAAAACUCGGAUUCAGAGGAAGCCUAUAAAAAGGUAGCCAACGAAGGUAAAGGGGUUGGUAUUUUUGAGAUGAGAAAAGAAAUUCAAAAGAAGAGAAAACCACGAAAAAGCCAUAAGAUCUGUGGCAAGCGUUCCCCGAACCUUCAUAUCUGACUUGAGCAUCGGAGGGUUUGCGCCGGGAAAAUAACCGGCGUACUCUGACUUGUCUGUGUGCGCAGGAACCUCUGGAGAAGAAGCCUUGCGAGGAGACCUCCUGGUCGUGAUGAAGCUGAUCGAGCAGAGAUCCUGGUCAUAGAACGAGGAGAACCGGAAUCCUGCAUCAACAUUUUGGCGCCGUCUGUGGGGAUGAGAGCAAAAAGCUUCUGUUGAUAGCAAGAAGAGGGGUGAAGCAAGUGAAAAGCAAUGGAGACAGGAGGAAGUAGUGCACAAGGGGGUGAUAGGAGGCUUAACGAUUCCGUGACGCUGAGGGAGAUAGUCAGUGAAGCACGAGAAAAAGUCAUGUUCGACCGGAUGGAACGGAUGGAAAAGCAGAUGGAGACCUUGACAACCAUCCUGCAUGAGCUGCGGAGCGAGCGAAGGGUAACCCAAGAGGGAAGGGUGAGAGGCGGUGGAGUGGCACCAGGUCCCGAUAGUGCGGGGAGAAGUCAAACCACCGGGAGAUUUGGUGGUGAGAGAGGUAACGUACCUCUGCGGGGAGAAUUUCAUAGAGAAAGAGAGCAGUCCCCGGCAAGACAGACUGGUGACGAGGACGACGGGGUGGUGAAUGCAGAGGAAACAGAGUUGAGGCAACACUUGCAUGAUGUAGAGCAAGAGCGGGAUCAAGUUACAGCACGUGACCCUGGUCGUGCAGUGCAGCUGGAAGAGGAAGUGCGCAGACUAGCGCAGAUAAUUGACGACAUGCAAGGAAGGAACAGAGCCCCUGGUUGGAGGAUAAUGCUGGACGGAGAAUCACCGCUUGCAGCAGAGAUCAUGAGGGCAGUUAUUCCGAGAGAUUUCCGCCUCCCAGACCUCAGAUACUCGGGAAGAACUGAUCCGCUGGUGCACAUAGAGCGCUUCAACGACAUAACUGGGGUACAAGGAUUAUCUCAAUCCCAAAGGUGCAGGGUGUUCCCACUAUCCCUUGAGGGACGUGCACGAGAAUGGUACAGGAAACUUCCUCGGGGCAGCAUUAAAACCUUCGAGCAGAUGUGCCAGGAAUUCGCGGAGCAGUUUAGUGGGGCAAUGGCACCGGAAGAUGACAUGAUGGAGCUGAAAAGCAUGAAAUAGGGGGAGCAAGAAACCCUUCGGGAAUUCAUCAAGAGGUUUCAUCGGGCUGUCCUCGACUUGGGAGCCUUCAACCACCCUCAGGCGUUAAGGGGAUUGAAAGAAGGGGUGAAGAUAGGAAGACUGUGGUACAAUUUGAGAAGCCCAGCUGUUCAAACGUAUGCAGCCGCAUACGAACAGGCUAAGAGAGACAUCGAGAUUGAAGAGGAGAAGGCUGCACGGAUUAAGACAGACCAGUUAGAAGGGUUGGGGAGGAAAGAGAAGAAAGCAUUACCGGGGAAUGGGCCGAUCAGAAGGAGGGACCACCAGGCCUCCGGUAGUGGAGCAGGAGGUCGGGUAACUGCUUACCAGCCUCAUCAGAGGCCACCACAGUAUCAGCGCAGCAGGGCGCAACCUCCUCGUUCCCCAGCUAGGGAGCCUUGGAGAAGGCAUGAGUCGGCAUCUGGUGGUCUUCAUCAACAUCCCCACGGUAGCAGAGCGAGCAGACCAGAAGUACUUCCACCGCCCCCAACUCAGAGCGGGGCAAACAGAGAAAGAGCAGUGCACCUGAUCGACCAGAACCCGGACUAUGGGCGGUACACUUCCUUGAAGAUGUCCCUGGAUGAGGUGUACGAGGCCAUAAAGGAUCGAGGGCUGCUGCACCUCCCUACACCAAUAACAAAGCUACCCAACAGGAGGGAUAGAGGACGUUAUUGUAAGUUCCAUGGCACCCAUGGCCAUACCACAGCAGAGUGUAGAGAUCUCAAGACCCAGGUCGAAGAUUUGGUGAGAAAUCGGUACCUGGACGAGUUUAUGGAUGGGACUUUCCCGAUGGUGGCCACAACAGGUGAAGGGGAGUAGAGUGGUGGAAACUUGAGGCGCGAGCAGCCCGCAGUAAGGGUGAUAGCUGGGGGCCCAACAUUGGCCGGAGAUUCCAACAGAUCGAGAAAAAAUUAUGCUAGGUACGCCAUGACCAGUAAAGAGGUACUCUUCAACACCCCAGCAGCCAAACGAGCAAGGGUCAGGCAAGUGCCAAUCAUGUGGACGGAUGAGGAUGAGGAAUGGAUUCUAUACCCCCACGAGGAUGCUUUAGUCAUCAAGGCUACUGUCGCUAGCAAGAAGUUUGACCGGAUACUGAUUGAUACAGGGAGCUCAGUUGAUGUGUUAUUUAAGUCAACCCUGGAAGAGAUGGGAAUAGCCGACCGGAAGUUGGAAUACACCAAUACCUCCUUGAAGGCGUUCGGAGAAGGGAAGCUGGUCCCUCUGGGCGUGGUCGAGCUGCCUAUCACAAUUGGGAGCUCCCCGACAGAAAGAACAAUGAUACUGGACUUUGUCGUAGUGGAUGAGGAAGGUCCUUACCAGAUGAUCCUAGGUCGGCCAUUUUUAAGGAUGAGCAAAGCGGUGUUGUCCAACCAUUAUCUGGCUCUGAAGUACCGGGUGAAUGGGGUAGUAGGAGUGGUACGAGGAGACCAGAGGAUCGCAAGAAGCUGCUACUCCUCAGCAGCAAGGGAAGCAAUGCAGAUAACAUCCCUCGAUACCCGAGUGGAAAACAAGAAGGGCAGACAAGAACCUGUAGAGGAUCUGGAAACAGUAAGCCUGGGACCAGAGAACCCGGGAAAGACGAUCAGAAUCGGGUCGAGACUUAAGGGAGAGCAAAAGCAGGAGUUGGUGAAAUGCUUACAGGCUCAUGCUGAUGUGUUUGCUUGGACACAUGAAGACAUGCCAGGGAUUGACCCUGAGGUAGCAUGUCAUAAGCUGGCAAUAAAGAAAGGUGCUCGGGCAGUAAGGCAGAAGAGGAGGUGCUUUAACCAGGAGAGGUAUGAGGCUAUAAAUGGCGAGGUGGAGAAGCUCUUGAGAGCAAGGUUCAUUCGGGAAGUCAGUUACCCUGAGUGGAUAUCAAAUGUGGUGUUGGUAAAGAAGGCAAACGGCAAGUGGAGGAUGUGUGUGGAUUUCACAGACCUCAAUAAGGCGUGCCCAAAAGACAACUUCCCUUUACCAAAGAUCGAUCAGCUAGUAGAUUCAACGGCUGGACAUGGUCUGCUUAGCUUCAUGGACGCGUUCUCGGGAUACAACCAGAUCCCCAUGUACGAGCAGGAUGAGGAGAGCACGGUUUUCAUCACUAACCAAGGUUUGUUCUGUUACAGGGUAAUGCCAUUCGGUCUCAAGAAUGCUGGGGUCACCUAUCAAAGGCUGGUGAACAAAGUCUUUAAGCCGUUGAUUGGGAAAACCAUGGAGGUGUACGUGGAUGACAUGAUCACCAAGUCCAAAAUCCCGAAGGAACAUGUCAGACACCUCGAGGAGACAUUCGAGCUUUUGAGGAAGUAUAAGAUGAAGCUCAACCCGGAGAAGUGUGCUUUUGGGGUCGAGUCAGGGAAAUUCCUUGGAUUCAUGGUGAGCCAUAGGGGGAUUGAAGCAAAUCCCGAGAAAAUCCAGGCGAUUGUGCAAAUGACGUCUCCUCGUAACCUGAAGGAGAUGCAGAGCCUCACGGGGAGGUUGGCGGCGUUGAGCAGAUUCAUAUCCAAGGCUACAGAUAAGUGUCAGCCAUUCUUUCAAGUGAUAAGGAGGGGAAAGAAAACAGAAUGGACCCCAGAAUGCGAGGAAGCCUUCCGGAACUUGAAGCAAUACUUGCAGCAAGCUCCGCUGCUGUCCACACCGAGGGAUGGGGACAAGUUGUAUCUGUAUUUGGCGGUAUCGGAUCGGGCCGCCAGUUCUGUUCUGGUGAGAGAGGAAGAAGGAGUUCAGUAUCCGAUAUACUACACCAGCAAGGCCCUGCUCGACACUGAGACCAGAUACCCACCGUUGGAGAAAUGGGCACUUGCCCUUGUGGUUGCUGCUCGGAAGUUGAGGCCAUAUUUUCAAGCAUUCCCGGUCUCGGUAAUAACAAACCAGCCAUUGCGUCAAACUCUGCACAAGCCAGAUGCCUCUGGUCGGCUCGUCAAGUGGGCUGUAGAGCUGAGCGAGUUCGACAUAGACUAUAAACCCCGCGCAGCGAUAAAAGCCCAGGCAAUGGCCGAUUUCGUAGCUGAAUUCACAGAGCCUGAAGUAUGCUUAGAUCAACAAGAUGCAGUUAUAGGCAAUGACGAAACUCAAGUAUGGCAGAUGUCUGUGGAUGGGUCAUCAGGGGAGCGGGGUUCAGGAGCAGGGAUUGUCUUGGAAGGCCCAGAGGGGGAGGAGAUCUCUUAUGCUGUAAAGUUGGAAUUUGCAGCCACGAAUAACCAGGCAGAGUAUGAAGCCUUGAUAGCAGGUCUGGAAUUGGCUAAGGCCGUGAAAGCAGACAGAGUUAAGAUCAGAACUGAUUCCCAGCUGGUUGCGAAUCAUGUCAGUGAAAGAUUCCAACCAAGAGAGGAGAAGAUGGAGCAGUACCUGAAGAUAGUCAGGCAGAUGAUGGGGAAGUUCGAAGCAGUGGAGGUGAUACAAAUCCCCAGGGAGCAGAAUAGUCGAGCAGACAUUUUGGCUAGGAUGGCAGCAGUAGCCGACCCAAAAAUGCCAAAGUCGGUCCCUCUGGAGGUGAAGUCCAGCCCAAGUAUCGAUCAGAAUUUGGGGGUGUUGCGGAUAGAACAAAAAUGCUCGUGGAGGGACCCGAUAGUUUCAUACCUUAGAGACGGGGUAUUACCACCAGAUAAGCUGCGAGCUCGCAAGAUUAGAGCCCAGGCCUCGAGAUACACGAUGAUUGAUGGGGUACUGUAUCGGCGAGGAUAUACACUACCGUUCCUUCGGUGUUUGAAUGAGGACGACGCGGAUUACGUACUGAGAGAAGUACAUGAAGGAAUUUGCGGAAAUCAUUCUGGCGGGAGGUCCCUGGCCCACAAGGUUCUAAGGCAGGGAUAUUUCUGGCCGACAAUGCACCAGGAUGCGCAAGAGAAGACCAGGAGUUGUGUAAGCUGCCAGAGUUUUGCAAAUUUCUCUAACCAACCACCAGAGAAGCUCACCUCCAUGACCUCCCCCUGGCCAUUUGCUCAAUGGGGAAUUGAUCUGAUCGGCUCAUUGCCAAAGGCACGAGGAGCAGCAACACAUGCAAUAGUUGCUAUAGAUUACUUCACGAAGUGGAUAGAGGUAGAAGCCCUUAGCAGGAUCACAGAGAAGAAAACAACAGAUUUCGUGUGGAGAAACCUGGUCUGUCGAUACGGGAUCCCUUAUGCCUUGGUAACGGAUAAUGGCAGGCAGUUCGAUAAUCACAGCUUCAGGGAUUUCUGCCAGAACCUCGGGAUAGAGCUGAAGUAUUGCUCGCCUGCUCACCCUCAAUCGAAUGGACAAGUAGAAGCAGCCAACAAGACCAUCAAGAGGCUUUUGAAAACCAGGCUUGGAGCAAAAAAGGGUGCGUGGGUUGACGAGCUGUCAGGUGUGCUAUGGGCAUACAGAACAACCCACAAAAUCGCAACUGGGGAGACACCGUUCGCUUUGGCUUUCGGACAUGAAGCGGUCGUGCCGGCUGAGAUAGGAACGACCACACACCGGACAAAUCAUUUCAAUGAGCAGGAGAACGACGUGCAGAUAUGUUUGAAUCUUGAUCUGCUAACGGAAAGGAGGGAGCAAGCAGCCGAGCGAUCAGUCAUUUACCAACAGAGGGUUGCUCGGUAUUAUAACCAGAAGGUGAACAUACGGCAAUUCAGGGUCGGAGACUGGGUACUGAGAAGAGUGAAUCAGAGCACCAAAGAUUCGACUCAAGGAGUGCUGGGACCGAAUUGGGAAGGGCCAUAUAGAGUCAAGCAGAUAGCGGGACCCGGAGCUUACAAGCUGGUUCGCACGGAUGGCCACGAGGUGAAACGCCCAUGGAACGCAGCACACCUCCGAAAAUACUUCUAGUAAGACUUGUUUACAUUUGAAAGCUAUUUUUGCUCAUGUUCAUUAUCGUUUAUCUUUCACGCUUUAUGUCCAAACAAUUUCAUGUAAGUCGAAUCCAGCCAUUAGUGGAACGUCGAGGAAUUUCUUUCGCUUGAAACCGAGAAAAUUCCCAAAGGCAUACAAAGGCUCAACAAAGUCUCAAAGCCUGUCUUAUGGCGAGACAGAAGCCAAGCAUGCCAGGAUCUGCUCGGCCACGAGAAGGCGAGCAGAAUCCCAAUCCUCGAAGAAUCCAAGGCAUGCAAAGGCUCGACAAAGUCUCAAAGCCUGUCUUAUGGCGAGACAGAAGCCAAGCAUGCCAGGAUCUGCUCGACCACGAGAAGGCGAACAGACUCCAAAGCAUUCGAAGAAAUUCCUAAGGCAUGCAAAGGCUCACCAAGUCUCAAAGCCUGUUUUAUGGCGAGACAGAAGCCAAGCGUGCCAAGAUCUGCUCGACCGCGCGAAGGCGAGCCGAAUCCCAGGCAUUGAAGAAUCUUCAAAGGCAUGUGGCAAAACCAUGAGCCAAGCCGGAACCUGCUCGUCUAGACAAAGACAAGCAGAUUCUCAAACGAAAAUUAAUUCAUAAUUACAACACAAGAAAGUAAUCAAAAAACAUUUUUAUUAAUUUGUUAAUAAUUAACAGAGGGGAUAAUCUUCAUGAACAUUGUUCAUUACAAUACAAGAAAUAUAUCAAGAAGAUGGUGGAUCAGUAAGCCCAGCAGCAUCGGUUGGCUGGACCUCCUCAGGUGCAGGAGGGGUAUCACCAGUUGCGUCCGGGGGGGGUGCUCGCCUCGCCAACAUCAGCAGGGACUGCACGAGGAGGAGAGUUUUCCUCCUCAAUCACGAUCGGCUCUACCCCUUCGGCAUCUUCCUUGGCCGCCUCCUCGUCCAUAUGUUGAGCAACACCAGCUGCAAGGUCAUCCAUCUUCAGAUCAGGGUGUUGCUUCCCGAGGACGGCCAUGAUGCAACGAUAGGAAUGCCGAAGUCCCUGGUCGUACUGGUUGUCGGCCUCCCUCUCCAAGUUCUCGACCUGAGCUCGGUGGGAGUCGCGGAGAGAUUCGAGCUGAGCCUCAUACAUAGCCUUCUGCUUUUGCAGAUCCUCCUUGACCUUGGUAAGCUCCUCCUCGAGGGUAAUGGCUUUUGCUUGAGCAAGUGAUUCUUGCUCUAUCAGCUUCAGAUUCUCGAGAUUCAGCUCCCCUGCUUUCUUCUCGGCAACGUCAGCUCUAGUCGUCGCCGAUUGAAUAUCCUCCUUCAUCUUCCGGUCGUAGCGGCCAACCUUAGCCUUGUAAUAGGUGGUCAUGCAGCUGAGGUGGAAAGCGCUAUGCUGCAUGGCCCCCACCAGCUCACCCAAGGUGCAGCCGUCAAAGUCCUCCAGGUCCUUCUUGCUCACGAGUUUAGAUAACUCAUUGAGGUAGGGGACCAGGUGUUCUGCUCGGCUGUCAGGUAAGCGAGAUCGAGGCCCGACAGGAGGAGGAGAGGAAGCAGGAUCUGUGGCUGCUCCACUAGCUUCCCCGACUUUUACAGGAGCAGGAGGUAAAAUCUUCAAGGGUGGGACCUGCUGCACGAUGUUGGCCCGCUUUGCAGCAGGGGCAUCCUUACUCUGGUCCCUCUUCGUGGUUGGAGGUCGAGAACGUUUUCGGGUCAGAGCCCCAAUCACAGCGUCCUCCAUCCUAUGGCCAGGAAGUAUCAAGCGAGACUCGAGCAAGUUGUAUGUAGUUAACAAUUCUCGGCUCGAGCAGGAAUUGGCUAGUACAGCCUCGACCCGUUUGAGCUGGUCAGGUUCAAGCGGGAAGUGGACACCCCAAGAACCUGCAACACAAACAAACAUUUGAUUAGAGACAAACCAGUAAAGCGCAAACGACAAGGGAGACAAGACAUCUAAUACGAGCAGGCAACCUGGGACCAAGAAACGGGGUGGGACGCGGAAGUCCUCCCCAUCAACCCGUGCAACUUGACCCCAGGGACCCCCUGCGAAUAAGAACUUCCUCUUCCAAUUCCCACCACCACCAGUAGGGAGAUCGGUUAUGGGUUUCCUGGUCUUGGUACUUGAUUGGAAGUAAUACCAGCCGGCAUCUUUUGGGCUGCUUUUCAGCUGGUACAGGUGCAUCACCUCGUCGACCGUGGGCUCGCUUUGGCAACAUCUGUCCCACAGUAUGAACAGACCAGAGAGCACUCUCCAACCGUUUGGGUUCAACUGACCAGGAGAUAGAUUCAACCCGCUAAGUAUCCGGGCAAAGUAAGGUUGCAAGGGACACCUCAGCCCAUACUUAAAGCUAUCCAGAUACAGGGUAACAUAUCCCCUAGGAGGCCGGCUAGGGGUAUCCUUCUUGCCUGGGACCUUGAGAAGUAUUUCACCAGGAAUGCUGUACCUAAGACGGAGGUCAGCGAGCUCGUCAAACGUGGUCGUGCACGUCAUAUAGUCGAUGGCAUAAUCACGCAACAAGGCUCUACCCCCUACUGUACCCCGUCCUUCUGGUCGUGACGUUCCAGAUGGAGACACCUCACCAGAGUCACCUUCGCCAUUCUCACUCAAAGUAUCCUCGGAGCCAGAAGAUCUCUCCUCACCAUUACUUCCGCUCGUAGAGGUUGUUUGGGGAGACAUCCUCCUAGCACUAGUCCCGACACUAGACCUAAUGGGCUCUAAGGGGAUCCCGGGGUCAAAAGCAGGAUCGGUGAGCAGACUAGGCAGGAAGUCCAACUCGUCGUCAUCAACCUCAAUGACCUUCUCUUUGCCUUUCGACAUUCCCUAAGCUCUAACCACAACACCACCAACUACUACCCAAACAGAAGAGAAGAGAAAUUAUCUACAACUAUCCGAGACCAAGGAGAUAGAAGAAAUACCUGAAGUAAUGGUUCAGUCGGUGAAAAUCAGAGAUGGAGGCCUUUUAUGCCGGAACUUCUUUGCCGGAGAGACAGAGACGGAGACGGAGUGAAUGAUGAAUAUGCUGUUCGAGAGGAUUUGGUUUUCCUAAUGAGGACGGACUCUUGGGUUGCCAGCAUUUAACAACGCCGAAUCCCGAGGGUCUCAUAACCGUCGGUUUGAAAUUCAAAUGGAGGGGGAGAUUUCUGCCACGUCACCUCGUCCGCAAUUAAAUGCGACAUGACUCUUGGCAGCCUUUUCCAAUCCCACGCGAGCGAGUACUAAGGAGUUUCUACUGCUGGUCCACUACAUUACCCAACACCAGAAACUGGGGGACCGGUGUUUGGGAGAAAUACGUCGACGAGACCAGGCAUGGUGAGCAGAUAUCUGAUGGCAGAGUUCUACGAACCGAUGUGUUCCGUAAAAGCCUGGUGCGCGGGGGAACAGGAGCAGAAAUAUCCUGCUCGUCCACGAGCACAUCAUCCGCGAGGCCAAUGUCCUGUAAGAGGCAUAAGGCCAUUCCGGCUAGAGGUCGAGAGGCGAGGAGACCCGGUCGACGGCAGUUGGCAAGACAUGCUCUCCAGCCCGAGAAUCUAGGCACGACAGCCACGCUUUCCCCAGAACCACGGCGGAACACGCAAGAUCCCACGUUUGCCCAUAACGCAGCAUAACUCAGCAGUCGGAGUCCCAUACCGUCCCCCAAAAAGCGGAAACAAGAUCUCACAGAACCACGACAGCCACGCUUUCCCCAGAACCGUGGCGUAACACGCAAGAUCCCACGUUUGCCCAUAACGCAGCAGUCAGAGUCCCAUACCGUCUCGAAAAAAGCAGAAAACUCGGAUUCAGAGGAAGCCUAUAAAAAGGUAGCCAACGAAGGUAAAGGGGUUGGUAUUUUUGAGAUGAGAAAAGAAAUUCAAAAGAAGAGAAAACCACGAAAAAGCCAUAAGAUCUGUGGCAAGCGUUCCCCGAACCUUCAUAUCUGACUUGAGCGUCGGAGGGUUUGCGCCGGGAAAAUAACCGGCGUACUCUGACUUGUCUGUGUGCGCAGGAACCUCUGGAGAAGAAGCCUUGCGAGGAGACCUCCUGGUCGUGAUGAAGCUGAUCGAGCAGAGAUCCUGGUCGUAGAACGAGGAGAACCGGAAUCCUGCAUCAACAAUAUAUACAUACACUUUCGUCUUCAAUGCACUGAAACUGGGGAACCAUCUAUAUGAUUUUCAUUCAGAAAAACCGGCGGGAACUAAUGACUUUCAUGAUUAAAAGUAGGAUUAUCAUAUUGUGGAGCAUUGUUAUGUAACGUUUUAUGGUUAUCUUAAGGCAAAAGUUGGCUUAGAAAUUAACUGAAAGGCAAUAUUCAUUCUAUCAAAAAACAAGUGUUUUUUAACAAGGGGAGAAGGUUCCCUUUAUAAUUUACUAAUUUAUGCAACCGUUAAUAUUAAAACAAAUUUUUUUUUAUAUUAAGGAUGAUGAUUCUUUUUCCCUUAGUAAAGUCUGUAUAUAACAUAUGAUGUGGUAAGCAAGGAAUCAAUUUAUCCCCUAUUUUGUUUUUCUUACUUUUUUUUCCCAAAAUAUUGCAGCUUUCUUUGGAGAGGUUCAGCCAAACUGCUGAGACCGUCAGUACAGAUGUUCAACGGUUUUUUAAUACUGCAUUUUAAGAUUACAUGUAUUAUAUAUUCAUUACUUGUGAUUAUGUAAUUUGCUGAUGAUAAGUACACUGAGUGAUGUAUAUAUGUGUGGCUGUGUGAUCAUUACUGAUAAAUUCAUUUGAUCAGCAAUUAUUCUUUACGAGUUUGGUAAUCGAGCAAACUGAUUAUCAGUUGGCAAACUAAUUAGAUAUUGCAUUUUGGCCUUGAAGUGAAAUUAGUGAACAUGUUUCUUGAGGGCUUCUUUUAUAAGACACUUGAAGAAGAAAAUUCAUGUUUUUGCAAAACUUCUUUCUCAAUAUAAAAUGAUAAUUCGAAAGAAUAUUUAUUAAAGAAGCUUGGAACUUGGAGGGCAAUUUGAAUUCUGAAACGGCACCGUUUCACCUCGACCCACUAGAUACAAACUGAUUAUGAGUGACACCAACGAUUGACCGCUGAGACAGAGAACCUCUCUCGGUGACGCCGACGGCCAGCUUUCACGCUCAUCUGCCGUCAUAUUCGGCAGCCGCCUGCCGUCACUCCGUCUUUGUUGUUGCGCCGGUGAAGGUGAGUACCGAGUUGUCAGUUGAGUUCAAUAGUUGUAUUUUGUAAUAGCAAUUACAAUUAUCGGGUUUAAUUUGGGACAAUUUUGAUCAUCAAUCUUUGCCAUGUUUCGUAUGACUCUGUUCUGUCUCACAUAGCAGGUUCUUGGUAGCUCGUACUCAUCAAUGUAUCCUGAUCGUGGUAUGGGAGGCAGCAGUUACAUGGGUAGUGGUGGUUCCGGAUCAUACUAGUGAUGUGGUAAAAAUUGAAUUGUAAGUGAAAUUUUCUUUUAUGUAAAAUUACAAUGAUCUAAUUUUCUUGGUGCAUUAUAAACUGAGACAUAAUGGUUCACCGAAGACUUUGGCAUCUCUCAAGUUAGCUAAGACGCAUGGUUCACGACAAAGGAAUCUACGGUAACAAGUGAAUUUUCUAUGGAACAGACUUGAGAUGAUGACAAAGAGGCUGCUGUAGGGUGUGGACUAUAUGAAGCUUCUCGCAUUAGGAUGCUUGCUACUUUGGAGAGGAUCAAGUUGCUGAGCCUAACAGCCUCCAUAUGUCAUGGGAAGGGCUGCACUGGUUUAGGCCAUUCUUGGUUCUACAGACUGAUUACUUUGUCAAGUCUUAAUGCUGCAAGGAAACUCCCCUCAGUGUGUGAUAUGUACGAAUUGCUUCUUUACUUUUCUGUAUAAGAACUCCACUUGAUGGACAGUGUGGAGGCAUCUGCAUAAAUCUGUUUAUUGGAAUCAACCCUGUCUGAUCCGAAUUUUAAAACCGAAUCGAAUUUUAAUAUCGAACCCAACCGGAUAUCUUGGUUCGAUUCGGUUUGAUUUUAAGCUCGGUUCUAUUUUUUAGGAACCGCCAGCUUGGGUACGGAACCGAACCAAACCAAACCAAACCGUACACUGUGUGCCUCAGUAAAGAGUUUGAUUUCUCUAUUUUAACCUUAAUUAAAUAUUGAUUUCCAAUUUUACCCUUUAACAAAACUAAAUUAAAUAACAAUAAUUUUCACUUGCUUUUUCGAUUUCAUUUUACGGCUCAACAAAAUCUCUCAAAACCGUUGUUCUGAACUUCCGGCGGCUUUCAGUACCGGCGAAGGCUGAAGAUUCAAGCAAUAGAGCUGCUCAUGAUGAGGGGAAGGAGAAGAAGACUUAGCCGAGUUUUGAAGAUUACUUUUUUUUUUUCUUUUGGGUUUUCAUUGGUUUAUCAUUUGAGUCUACAAACAAAUGGUAUUCUUUUUCCCUAAAUUGUGAACACUUGGGGUUUUUAUUGUUGAAAUGCUUUAUUAUUUUUCGAUGACCAAGUAAUGUGAAUCAAUGUUCUCUUUAAAUAAUUUUCCCCUGUCCUUGCAUGUUCUACCGGUCUUUAUUUUUUAUUUGAAUUUGAAGAAACUUUCUAAGUGCAUACACCCAUAUGAAGUCGAAGAUCUUCCAGACAAGGUGGCAUCCAUCAAGAUCAAGAAAUUUUACUGCUUAGCAUGUGUUAUAUUUAUGGAUUGGCUAUUGAAGAAAUAAUGUUUGUACUGAUGCAGAUGCAGGAACUUUACACAUCUUAAGUUUACGAGAUAUUUUUUUCUUUUUUGACUCUGUUAGAUAACUGUCAGUUAGUUAACCAAUUUAUGUUACUCUUCCUUGGCUAGCCAAUUAAGAACUUAUGUCUGCUGGAUUAUAAAGCCUACAUCUGGAAGCCACAGGUGAUUUGAUUUGAAGGCAAUUUGUUCUAGGCUAUAUGUGGAUUUCUAUCAUGAUUUCUGUAAGCUUGAAGGAGAUUUUUUUAUGCGUGAGAGCUUGAAAAUUAUACAUGUACAUGUUGAAACUAUUGGAUAUAUGUUAAGAAUCAAGCAUAAUUGUGUCAAGAUGAAACCAUAAUUUGGGUGCUGUUUUAUGAGUAAACUAUCUCCAAUUUGGGUGCAGUAAACCUAGGUUGAAUACCAGGACAUGGUAUAAAAGUGAAAUCACACAUUGAAUCUCGCAUAAAGAUUUUAAAGAUGCAAAUUCGAAUUGUACAUGAGAUGUUAUCUUGAUCGAAUUGCAGCGGCUUUGUUUUGGAUCCAGAAAACAAAAUUGUAAGCACAGAGAAGUCUCGAUGGGAUGCUUAUAUUAAGGUGCAUAAUGGCCUCAUUGAGUUUUGUGCUGUUGUUCUACGUUGUUUGAGUUUUGUGCUGCUGUUCUUUGUUGCUGCUUUUGCUACCGGUUUUAGCUAUUUUCUGCCACUCUGUUAUUUGCUAUUUUUUACUACUUUGGCUGCUGAUUUUUGCUGUUUUCGCUGCUUUAGCUGUUGUUUUAUCUGCUGUUUUUUUUUUACUGCUUUUAUUGUUGAUUUUUGCUGUUCUCUAUCGUGUUUUACCCACUGGUUGUCGCAUGUUUAUUAAUACUGUUUGCUGCUGUUUUAUUUGCUGUUUUUUGCUGCUAAUUUUUUUUUUUCUGUUUUCUGCGGUUAUUUGCUGCCGUUGCUGUUUUACUCGCCAGUUGAUGAUGUUUUGUGGUUCUCCUCCUCGAGUGCCUACUUUUUCCUGUGUGCAAGCAUAUCUGUUGAGAGUGGCUGAUGAAAUCACUAAACUGUUACAGUUGAUCUCAUGCUUCUCUAGAGAAGGAAUUAGACUUAUUUUGGUGAAGGGGUUUUGGUUUUUAUAUCAGUGUGUGCAUUUCUUCAAUCACGUAGCUUUGUGGCAUUACGAUCGAUAAUGGCAACUCCACAAUGAUGAUAAUGAUAAUUUUGUGAUUCAGACGCGUUGUUAGGAAUUAUGUAUUGGUUUUUCUCUCGCCUUCGGUUUCUACGAUGAAGCAUAUAAUGGCUUUUAAUCUGCAACUGCUGCAAAAUGGACUCACUAGCUACCAAAUAAUAAUAUAUAGUGCUGUCAAAUUUAUAAACGUUUUACGGUUAUUUUAAGCCUGCAGUUGGUUUACGAAUUAAUUAAAUGACAAUAUUCAGUCUAUCAUAAAACAGGUUUUCAACAAGUGAAGAGGAGGUACUCUUUAUAAUUGGAUAAUUAAUGCAACCUUCAAUAUUUUCAACCAAAAAAAAAAUGAUAUUUGAUAUGUAUUCAACAUUAGGGAAAAACCACCCAUAUCGAAGGUUUGCUUAAAUGAUCAAAUAAAUCCACUUAGUUUCGUAAAUGGUUAUACAUAUCCUCUUUUCGACUAUUUAUUGGGUUAUGUUUGAGAGUUAGGACUAAGUGUGGGAUUGUACUAACUUUGAGAUUAAAUAUUAUUCUUUAUUUAGCAAUUUUCCUUGGAUUAGAUUAUGAGAGACUAAAUUCUAAGUUAGUUGUUAAAUAAAGGGGUUUGGAAAUACCAAUUUAUAAAUAGAUUUAAAUGGGAUUAGAAUAAGAGGAAAAAAUGUUCAUUUGUAAUAUUUCUUUCAUAUAUAACACAUCUUUUAUUUAUUACUUAAAAUUUAAUUAAUGAAUUAAUUAUUUUAUUCAUGAUUUACUUGAAAUAUAUUUUUUAUUUUGUUUUUAUAUUCUAAUUAAAUUGGUACUUUAAUUUAAUAAUUUGUUACAUUAAUUGAUUGUACUAAAUUUAAUAAUCACCAAUGUAAUAUUAAAAUAUAAUUAUGAAAAUUAAUAAUUGAUGCGUAAAUUAGCAAGUGUACUAGUCGGCACAAGUAAUAUAAUGAAGAGUAGAGUAUCGUCCCACAGAGAUUGUAUAUCCUAUUAGUUACCGAAAUUAUUCUAACCCUAAUUUAUUUAAACAAUCAAAUAAGCGAAUUUAGAUAAAAAUAAAAUAAAAUAAAAUUAUUAAAAAUUAAAUAAAGACGCAGGCAGUAAUAGAAAUCACCAAGAGAUUAAGACACUAGGACAUCCGAUUUCACCAUAACCAAUCCAAUUUAAUCCGCCAUCUAUGCUAUUAAAUUUUAUUACCCAUGUUGACAGUGAAUUUCCCUAAUUUAUUCAAUAUCCUCUCUCGAGUAAUAUCAAAAAUAUCUCCACAUAUCAACCCACUAUAUCUCUAUGUGAAUUUAAAUAUGCAAAGAUUCAUUAAGUUCUAUGGAAAUUCUUAGAUAAAACUGCACGAAUCACGUUGGCACAUCUCUGUCUUUCGUUCAAUUCAUGGCAUCCAUUACACAGAGCAAAAAUACAUAAAUCUCCUCUCGGUCUCAUUAUGUAUCCUCAAAUCAUUCAAAUAUUGGCCAAAUAAUUAAAAGCAUUAAGCACAAUAAUGAACACUCAAUCAUGGAAUAAUUAAUUAAAAAUAACAUAGAUUUAUGGAAUUAAAUCUUCAUAGUUAGGCUACAUCGUAGCCCUAGUAAAAUAAAUUAGUUCAUGGGAAUAUAAAGAGAAUUCAUUAAUUUAAUUAGAAACAUUCAAGCAAGAUAAUAGAGAAGAGGAAAAGAAAAGCUUAAGAAUUAAUGCGUCUUCUUCCUGCUCCAAAUUAUUCUUGCUGCUCCCGAUUUUACUCAAAACUUGCGGCUGCUGCUCUUCUCUUUAUUUUCUCUUGGCUGCCUCUUAUUUUCCUUGUGCGGCUGCCUUUCUUCCCUUUUAUAAUGGUGUGGUUUCUUCCAAAUCCUUAAAGGAAAAGGAUUGCAAAUCCAGCCCACAAAUCCUUAAAUGAAAAUAAUUAAAAACAAAAGCCCAACCGCCUAUUUCAUUCCUAAGCCAAUCAGAAUUAAAAGCAAAAGCCCCUCCACGUGUUGCAUGCCAUAUUUGUCUUUGUAAAUGAAUUCUUCAAUGCUUCCUCACGUGCAUGCAUGCUUAAUGAUUAAUUAAAUUAAAUCCUUUGUGAUUUGUUCCAAUUAAUUCUCUUUAUUUCUUUAUUGUACCUAAAAUGAGAAAAUAUAAAAAAUUAAGAUAAAAUUAACAUAAUAAAAUAUAAUUUAACAUAAAAUUAAGUUAUGGAAGCAUUAAAAUAAUAGAUAAAUAUUAGCACAUCAAAUACCCCCAAACUUAACAUUUUGCUAGUCCUCGAGCAAAAACUAAAAAUAUAAAAAAUAAAAAAUAAAUAAAAAAAAUAAAAACUACGAAAAGAAAAUUCUAACUAAACCACUUUCGCAGGUGAUCGCGAUUGCAUUUAGCGUAUGCAACAAGCCUUUAAACCCCUAGGCGGCCCUAGUGGACGAGUUAUAGUCUCGUGAGGGUUUCCAGCGAUGAUACCCACAAACAUCAUCAAAAAUGCCUCAAAGAUUGCAUAAAGUAUAUAGCUCAAAGAAAAUAAAAAAUAUUGGCAAAGUUCUAACUUUAAUUGAAUAGUCAGCCUCAUCUCAUAUUGGAUUCCUGUGUUGUGUGUGAAUCAAUUCAAUCAAAACUCAUUCUCAAGAUCUUCAACAUCAACAGCCCUUGUCUCGAAUAAUAAACAGAGUAGGUCAAACUAACCUCAUCAUCUUGAUCUUCUUUUUUUUUUUCUUUUCUUCACAGGCAUAAAUUUGCAUUUUCUUUUGAUUUUUCUUGAAGCACGUGCUUUUUUUUUUUUUCAUUUCUUUGUCCAUAGUCAGGAGCUUUCACUCUACCCCUUAAGGUAGCCUUCUUCUCAUGGUAGAUUAUCCUCUACAUACUGGUGGUACAUAGGCCCAAAUUACUCAAGGAUAGCUUCACUCUUAAGGGUUAUAGGUAGCUAUUUCUGACUAUAGUGCCUGGGUAAACUUAAGUAUUGUAUAAUCGAGGCAAACAGUCAUUUACUCAAUCUAAAAUUCUCAACUUAGGCCGUAUCAAUCUCAAAUCUCAAGUCAAAAUUAUGAAAGAAUCGAUAUAAGUGCGCAAGAUAUUUAAAGAAUCUCAAUCAAGACGAAGCUAACACAAGAAUCAAGAAUAAAUUAAGACAAUAUUCAUCCCUUUCUAAGAACCAUAUUCAUUUUCAACCAUAAACUCAUCAUAGGCAUUAAAAUCUUUUUUUUUUUUUUUGAUGAAAAGCAAAUAAUGAAAAGCAAAUAUUCCCACCCCCAAACUUAAAAUAAACAUUGUCCUCAAUGUAAAGAAAAAGAAAAAGGAAAAGAGAAACUCCCCCGGUUUUGCACUUGAAGAUGUAAAGUUGUAGCUGAGUCGUUGAAAGGCAUGCGGAAAGUUGAUGUUCAUCGACCCCCAAACUUGUGCAAAAUCCUAAAACAAAACAAAAUAAGUAAAAGAAAAGAAAAAUAAGGAAAGAUAAAAAUGACAAUAAUAAAGUUUAGAAAGCAUGGGUUGCCUCCCAAGAAGCGCUUAAUUUAUAGUCAUUAGCCUGACUAUCUUUGAAGAGAUGGUUCAAGGAGGCUCGUGGAUGGAAGGAGAUGAUCUGGAUGGACCUUGCCCAAGUUUCUUGCAAUUAGGUCUCUUCCCACGAAAAUGAGGUGAUGCAUCUUCAUUAAUAGACUACUUUUGUAUUAUAUAAAUGUCAGGAGGGUCAGAUAGAUGCUCAUCCUUAAAUGGUUUGGCCAUUUUUAUAUCCAUGGUGUCUUCUUGGAAACAUUCUUUGAGUUCAAUUGGAUACUUGAUAGGUGUGUACACAUUGAAAAUGGCUUGCUCAUUUUGAACUCUUAAAAUCAAUUUUCCUUCAUGAACAUCAAUCAAAGCUCUUCCUGUAGCUAAAAAUAGUCGGCCUAAAAUGAGAGGUAACUCUAUAUCUUCAGCCAUAUCCAAGACAAUAAAAUCUGCAGGAAAUAUAAACUUAUCAACUUUUACAAGCACAUCCUCAACUAUGCCUCGUGGGUAUUUUAUAGAUCUACCUGCUAAUUGUAGGGUAACAGUUGUUGCUUUAGGUUCACCCAAACCUAAUUUCUUGAAAACAGAAAAAGGCAUCAAAUUAAUGCUUGCACCUAAAUCACACAAAACUUUAUCAAAAUAACAAUUUCCAAUAGUGCAUGGAAUAUUAAAACUCCCUGGAUCUUUCAGCUUUGGUGGCAAUUUAUUUUGUAAGAUGGCGGUGCAGUCCUCAGUCAGCAUUACAGUUUCAUGCUCCUCAAGUUUCCUCUUGUUGGACAACAUUUCUUUCAUAAAUUUGGCAUAAAGCGGCAUUUGUUCCAAAGCAUCUGCAAAAGGAAUAUUAAUAUGCAAUUUCUUAAACACAUCAAGAAAUUUUAAAAAUUGCUUAUCUAUGUUAUUUUUCCGGAGACGCUGAGGAAAAGGGAUUGGAGGAACAUAGGCCUUGACUAGUGUUGCUAGUUUAGGUUGUGGUAUUUCUGAACUUGCUGCCUUUGAAACCUUAGUGGUGUCUUCAGUUUGUUCUUCAUCAACUUUCUUUGCUUCUUUUCGCGGCUCAUCAAGUUGUUUACCACUCCGAAGUAUAAUUGCAUUAACUUGCUCCUUUGGAUUUGUCUCGGUGUUGCUUGGCAGAGAGCCAUGUUGUCUACUGGAUAACAAGUUUGCAAUCUGAUCUACUUGUACCUCGAGGUUCCGAAUUGAUGCAGCUUGAUUUUGAAAAGUUGUCUCUGUUUUGGUCAUGAAUUGAGACAUGUUUGUUGUAAGCUGGGUAAGAGCAUCUUCUACGUUUGACUUCUUUUCUUGUGGUUGGAACCCUGGAGGUGGUGCCAAUGUAUUCUGAGUGUUGUUCCAUGACAAAUUCGGGUGGUUUCUCCAGCCAGGAUUGUAGGUAUUAGAAUAUGGGUUAUGUUGUUGUCUCUGGAAGUUUGACACAUAAUGAGCUUGUUCAGCAGACGACGACGCAAAAGGACUUCCAACUUGGCAGUUGACACUGGUAUGAUUCCCUCCGCAUAAUUCACAAACUUGAGUUUGAAUCGCACUGACAUUUAGGUGCUCCAGCUUAUUAGAUAAAGCAGUCAUCUGUGCAGAUAAAACAGUGACAACAUCAACAUUAUGGGCUCCUACAAUUUUCCUUGGCAUUGAUCGCUCUGAAGUCCACUGGUAAUUGUUGGAUGCCAUCUCCUCCAAUAAUUCAUAAGCUGCUUCUGGUGUUUUUCCCAUUAACGUUCCUCCUGCUGCAGCAUCAAUCAUUGUUCUGGUAUUGGAUCCUAAACCAUUGUAAAAUGUCUGCACCUGAAGCCAAACUGGUAGACCAUGAUGUGGGCAUUUUCUUAGUAGGUCUUUGUAUCUCUCCCACGCUUCAUAUAAUGAUUCCAUCUCAAACUGAGCAAAGGUUGUGAUGUCAUUCCUCAACUUGGCUGUUUUUGCUGGAGGAAAGUACUUUGCUAAAAACUUCUGCGCUAAACCAUCCCAAGUAGUGAUUGUUCCAGCAGGGAGUGAGUUCAACCACUCUUUUGCUUUAUCCCUCAGUGAGAACGGAAAAAGCCUUAGCCUGAUUGCAUUGUCUGAAACACCAUUUUGCUUAAAUGUUUCACAAAUUUCCAAGAAAUUUGUAAUAUGGGCAUUUGGAUCAUCAUUUGGCAUCCCAGCAAAUUGAACUGAAGUCUGAAUCAUCUGGAUUAUGGCUGGCUUAAUUUCAAAAUUAUUGGCUUGAACGGCAGGGCGUGCAAUGCUUGAAUGAGCUCCAUUAACUGUAGGCACAGCAUAAUCUCUUAAGGGUUUUGCAUCCUCAUUUCCAUGUAAUGCUUCGUCAGCCAUGAUUAGUUGUUGCUCCUGUGAAGCUUCUCUCCUUUCUUUAUUAAGUCUUCUACACGUACGUUCAAUCUCUGGAUCAAAAGGCAAUAAAUCAAAACUUCUUGAGCGUCUCAUAAAAUUAAACAAGAAAAUAAAAAAUUCAAAUAAAAACUAUAAAAAUAAAAUUCAAAUUAAACUAAGGUUAGUUGGUAUCGAUACUAAUCCAAACAAUCCUCGGCAACGGCGCCAAAAACUUGAUGCGUAAAUUAGCAAGUGUACUAGUCGGCACAAGUAAUAUAAUGAAGAGUAGAGUAUCGUCCCACAGAGAUUGUAUAUCCUAUUAGUUACCGAAAUUAUUCUAACCCUAAUUUAUUUAAACAAUCAAAUAAGCGAAUUUAGAUAAAAAUAAAAUAAAAUAAAAUUAUUAAAAAUUAAAUAAAGACGCAGGCAGUAAUAGAAAUCACCAAGAGAUUAAGACACUAGGACAUCCGAUUUCACCAUAACCAAUCCAAUUUAAUCCUCCAUCUAUACUAUUAAAUUUUAUUACCCAUGUUGACAGUGAAUUUCCCUAAUUUAUUCAAUAUCCUCUCUCGAGUAAUAUCAAAAAUAUCUCCACAUAUCAACCCACUAUAUCUCUAUGUGAAUUUAAAUAUGCAAAGAUUCAUUAAGUUCUAUGGAAAUUCUCAGAUAAAACUGCACGAAUCACGUUGGCACAUCUCUGUCUUUCGUUCAAUUCAUGGCAUCCAUUACACAGAGCAAAAAUACAUAAAUCUCCUCUCGGUCUCAUUAUGUAUCCUCAAAUCAUUCAAAUAUUGGCCAAAUAAUUAAAAACAUUAAGCACAAUAAUGAACACUCAAUCAUGGAAUAAUUAAUUAAAAAUAACAUAGAUUUAUGGAAUUAAAUCUUCAUAGUUAGGCUACAUCGUAGCCCUAGUAAAAUAAAUUAGUUCAUGGGAAUAUAAAGAGAAUUCAUUAAUUUAAUUAGAAACAUUCAAGCAAGAUAAUAGAGAAGAGGAAAAGAAAAACUUAAGAAUUAAUGCGUCUUCUUCCUGCUCCAAAUUAUUCUUGCUGCUCCCGAUUUUACUCAAAACUUGCGGCUGCUGCUCUUCUCUUUAUUUUCUCUUGGCUGCCUCUUAUUUUCCUUGUGCGGCUGCCUUUCUUCCCUUUUAUAAUGGUGUGGUUUCUUCCAAAUCCUUAAAGGAAAAGGAUUGCAAAUCCAGCCCACAAAUCCUUAAAUGAAAAUAAUUAAAAAAAAAAGCCCAACCGCCUAUUUCAUUCCUAAGCCAAUCAGAAUUAAAAGCAAAAGCCCCUCCACGUGUUGCAUGCCAUAUUUGUCUUUGUAAAUGAAUUCUUCAAUGCUUCCUCAUGUGCAUGCAUGCUUAAUGAUUAAUUAAAUUAAAUCCUUUGUGAUUUGUUCCAAUUAAUUCUCUUUAUUUCUUUAUUGUACCUAAAAUGAGAAAAUAUAAAAAAUUAAGAUAAAAUUAACAUAAUAAAAUAUAAUUUAACAUAAAAUUAAGUUAUGGAAGCAUUAAAAUAAUAGAUAAAUAUUAGCACAUCAAUAAUACUAGUAAUUAAUUGAUUUUAUAUAUUAUUUGCUAAUUUUUUGAUAAAAUAAAAUAUAUAUCUAAAAUAUCUAAAUAAUCAAAAAGUUUUAUUAAUUUAUAUUUUUUAUUACAAUUAUGACUACCCAUAAGUAAUUUACUAUAUAUUUAAUGUUCUUAUUAAUUAUAUUUAAAUUAAUCUUAAUUAUUAUUCUUAAAUAUUCAUAAAUAGUUUUUUAUUUAAAUAUAAUUUAACAUUGUCUAAUCCAAUGUUGUACCAAACAUAAGACAGUAGUGUAUAAUCCAACAUAAUACUUAGUCCAAUUUAGUCUUGCAUGCCAAAUGUAAUCUUAUACACUUUGAUUACAACAAGCCAAUAAUUGACUUAAAGAAACUUCUAUAACAAUUAUAAGUUAAAAUUAAAAUAAUAUGAUAUAUAAAAUAAGAUAAAAUUUAUAAAUUAUUUUGAAUAUUAGAAAAAUGAUUUUAACAUUAUUAAUUUGUCAUAUUCUUUUACUACUAAUAAAAUCUGUUUGACAAAUUAAUAAUAUUAAAAUAAUUAUACCUAACAUUCACAAUAAUUUAUAAAAUUUAUAUAUUUUGUUUACAAUUUUUUUAAUUAUGUCUAUAUUAAUAUAAAUCUUAAAGUCAAUUUUUGGAUUAAUAGAUUUUAGUAUAUAUAAUAAUAACUUAAUAUUAAAAAUAAUUUUCAUUACAUACGUUAUUCUAUUAAUUAUCUUAUUGUAAUAUUUUAUUUGUAUCAUAUGAUAUCUAUUAAUUAUUUUUUUAUCUUAUUACUAUAUUUAUAUUUAUUUGUGUUGUUGUAAUCAAAGGGUAUAGUAACUAAAAAUGUGUUUAUGUGACUAUUUAACCUGAAGGGUCUUUGUGACCAUUUAAGUAAACCUUGGAAAUGUGUGACAAUAGUCAUUCUAAUGACUUUCAAGAUUGAAAGUGAGUCGGAUUAUCAAAUUAUGAAGCAUUGAUACGUAAUGUUUUAUGGUUAUUUUAAGGUUGAAGUUGGUGUAUUCAUUAAACAAGCUUUUAACAGGAGGAGAAGGUUUCCUUUAUAAUUUAAUAAUUAAUACAACCUUCAAUAACAAAAAAGUCAUAAAAUAAGGACGAUGAUUCUUGCUCACUUGGAUAAGAUAUAUAUAUAUAUAUAUAUAUAUAUAUAUAUAACCUAUGAUGUGGUAAGCAAGGAAUCAAUUAUGUAUUUCUUGUAUCUGAAAAAAUGAAUAAUCCUUUAACGAAGGUUAUCAUCAAUUGCAGGUUUCUAGUUUGGCUGCUUAGUUUGAGGACUACGAAUAUUACAAUAUCAUAAUUAAAGGAAAGAAUAUAGGCGGUAGUCUUUGCCUGAUCUACUUUCUUCUUUUUAAUUAACCACUUGAAAGGAAAGAAUAUUGUAUACGCAGCACACUAUAAUACUCUAAUUACCAAUUCUUUAUCUUAUAAUAUAAGUUCAUAGUGAUUAAUUUGUCCUUCUUCAGCAAAAAACAAAUCCCAUUUCAGCACAUCUGCAAGAGCCCUCAUUUCUCUUUGCUCCAGCCAAUUAAUAGCAGAAUCAUCACAGACACCUUGAGCUCCGUCGAAUCAUCAUAGACAAUUGGUGACUAGUGGGAGCAUUACAAGGAAGGUACGACGAGUACAAACUGAUAGAUUUGUUUAUAUGAUUCGGCUGUAGUUUUUAUAUAUGGUUAAAUUAUGACAAUAAUCAAGAGAUAAUCAUGUACCUCAUUAGUUUCAUAAAUGUACAUACUAAUUUAUUCCCCUGCUUGCCAGAAUCACACAUGUAGAAUAAGAUAAAUUUUAAGAUUUAAACUUUUCAAUUCAUUAAAAAUCUAGUGGGAUAUUAAUCGGUAAAACCACUUAGGGUAGUACAAGAGGUUUGUGAUGCUAGCCAAUUUAUGUGAGUGGAGAAAGAAUUAGGUUUUUUUAAUAAAAAAUAAUAAUCAUAUUAAUAAAAAGACAUAAAUUUCAAGGUUUAAAACCUUACAAUUCAUUAGAAGCAAGAGGGGGAUCCUAAAAACUUUGAAUGUAACGUAUCGGCAGUGGAAUGAAUUUUUUAUUUUUUAUUUUUUGGUUGAGACUAUUUACACACUCCUGGGCUUUGAACACAUAUUAGGGUGAGGGUAUUUUAGUAUUUCACUCACUUCUCAAUAAAAUGUUUUGAGGUGAUGCUACCACUAAACUACACAUUGAACCCAUUUACUUAACAAACACACUUCUAAAAUUUAAAAUAUACAAUUUUAUUUUACAACUCCAUUAAUACCUAAAAUACCCUUAUUAAGUUAAAUUAUCACGAUUUCUCUUAUCAUUUUCUUUUCCCAUCAUUUCUCCGUUUCUUCGCUCUUUUCUUCUUCAUUCCUGGACCUUUACCCAUAACUUUUUUAUUCCAAAUUCUUAAACUUUUUAUUUUAUUUUUUAAUAGCUAUUUUUCCCCUUGAUAUUUCAUGCGCUUGGAACAACACCCCUAAAAAAUUAAAUAAACAAACAAUAAAUUUAAAUAAACAACUGAUAUUAAAAUUGCUUAUAAAUUUAUAAUAAAUAAAAAAUUUCAAGUAAUUGCAACAGUUCUGCUUUUUUUUUUUUUCAUUUUAUUACAUGGAAGAAAGCUUACUAACUGAGAAGAGAUCAAGAUAAUUCAUUGUCCAAUUCAAAGAAUUCAGAAAUGAUGAAAUUAGAUGGUGGAAGUCAAGAGGAAUUUUACCAACAAUAAGCUUUUAUCCAAAUGCAUUAAAAAUUCAUUGAAACUUCUUUCCGCUAACAAAAGCGUAAUGACAUAGAAAAAGUGAAUACAGUACAUUGAAUAAUGAAAAAUAUGGGAGAAUGGUAGUAAUUUUUUAUUUAAUUUAAUUAUAUAGUCUUGUCUAUUAUAGUAACUUUCUAUGUGGACAUUUUAGUAACAAAAAUUUUUAUUAAAUAUUGAAUUUAAUGAGUAUUUUGUUGGGUUUGAACAGUCCCACCCAAAAUUUAAUUACAAAAUUUUCUUUAAUUAAAUUAAUAUCUUAGACAAAUAUUACAUCCAUUUCUCUCCCUAAAGUUUUUUUUUUCACAAUUUUUUUCUCUUUUCCUCUCUCUCUCUCCCCGCAGUUGUCCUCUAGUCCUUUGUGGUUCUUAUAUUUUGAAGUUUCUAGUGGAGUAAAACCUCUUUUAAAAUUUCUUAUAAAAAAAAAUUAAAAAAUGAAAGUCUCUUUUAAAAUUUGCCUUCCCCUUACCCUCGCGCUACUAUUAUACGUAAAUGCUCUCGAUGAAACUUUAGCAAUUGGGUUUCUAUUAAGUAUUUUAAUCUCGAAAAAAGAGAAGAUCACAAAACAAAUAUCAAUAGAUCACCAAUUUAGUUAUGCAGGUGGUAAUUAAUUAAAAUAAAAGACGUAGUGCUUCGUUUUGAAGUUGUUAUGAUAAAGAAAGGAGAAAAUAGAGCAAGCCGCUGCAACUGCAACAGUGGAGGAUUUGUAACAAAACUAUUACAGAGAUAAGAUUUAAUUGAUAAAAGAAAGAUUUAAUAGAAAGUAGUUAGAGAAACAACUAAUAAAAAUUAAUGAUAUUUAUUAUGGGUAUAUUAGGAAUAUUUGUGGCCUCACCUCUCAUCUUAUAAUAAAUUUUUAUGUUACUACAAUAACUCCAAUAUAGUUUAAUAUUAAGGACAACGUAAUGAAAUAAUUGUUAUUCUCAUAUCCAUUAAAGAUAUAUCGUUAUCUUAUAGAUGCGAGAAUGCUCCAAUGCUCAAGUAAAAUUUUUAGUGAAACACAUAAGAAUUCUACGUGUAGAGAGAACUUCGUCAGGGUAUUUAAGUUGUAUGUAAUGCUCUUUGCUAGUGUACCACGUUUAAUAUUUGAAUCAUGACACGUGGCGUUGCAAGUAGUGGCUUUAUUUCAGGUCUUCGUAGGUGCUCCGGACAUAUGUUCGCUCCGGAUCUAGUAUUAGGUCAUCAUGUGCUUUUUUUAGUGAUCCACGUGAUUCCUUUUAUCCUUACACCAGAGCAUUUCUUGUUGAAUAACAAUGUCGAAUGCUUGUUUAUCAAGGACACGUGUCUUGUCAUCAGAACAUAGUAAAAACAUAACAUGCUAACCCACGUGCAUUUAUGAAAAAUCAAAUGAGAAUAAUAAAUUAAAAAAGAAAAGGAUAAAAGUACAACAACUAAUUAGUAAUAUUUGAGUUUCUGCUGAUGAAUAUUUAAUUUUAUGGGUGUAAAGAUAGGAAAGAAAAGUAGGUUUAAUGAGGACUAUUUUAGUAUUAAAAAAGUAUUCAAAAUAAAUUUUAUUUUAAAAAUUUUAUUCAAUAAGGUAUAGAGAUCAUUCCAAAUUUAUUUUAGGUGCAAACUCGUCCGUUUGACGUAAUAUUGUGUCUUAUAAUAAGACUAGCAAUAGUCAAAUUAGCUUAUUAAGAUAAGAUCUGUUAAAUUUAAUAUUUUUAAAAAAUUAUCAUCCCAUCAUAAAACACACUGCUCUACUAUUCGGUAGAGCAUGAGUGGUUGGCGCAGACCAUGGAUUGCACAAUUAUUUCUAACAUUUGAAUCCCCAAACCCUCCUAACAAUGCCACCAGUAGGGAUGGCCCAUAUUUUUCUAAGCUCGGCCCUAAGCCCAUGUUAUCCACGCAUUUUUAAUUAUUAUUUUAGAUAUUACUGAAUUUGCAAUGAGUUAAUAAUCAAUAAGUUGUUAUAAUCAACAAUAAAUUAAAAAAUGACUAUUUUAAAAUAAAAUAAUAAAUAAAAAAUGAAGCAAAUAAAAGUUUACAUAUUUAAUUUCUUAGUACUAAAUUCUCUAAUUUAAACAUUCUCUUAGUUAAUUAAGAUAUAAGAGAGAGUUUAGUGUCACAAUUUUAGAUUUUUUUAAUCACUAUUGAUUGAAUUAGGGAUUUAAGCUUUCUUUUUUUAAUUAUUUUUUUAUAUUUUGUAUUAAAAAAAUAGAGGACUUAACAUGUCCCGGACCUUUUUUUUUUUAAAGAAACCCUCAUGUAAAGGACUGGGCCUAAGCCCGCUGGGUCUGGGCCGGACCCUUUGAGGCCCAAGGCUAGCCACCAGUCUCUUUUGUCAAUCAUUGUUAAUGAACUAGCCUAGUUGAAUACUUUUAAAAAUUGAUUGGUCGUAAUUGCCAAUUUCCAAAUACAACAAAUUUUUAUAGGUGUAUUGGUAGACUGAACGAUAGCUAACAACAUGUGACAUAAUUAACUUACUUCCGAAGGAAUUUUUUUUUAUUUAAAGAUACAGUGGAUGAACAUAGAAAUCUUGUGCCAACUUUUGAAAUUCGUCAAUAAUGUAUGGUGGAUCGAUAGGGGCUCAAAUCUCAAAUUGAGAAAGUAAUUUUGAAAAAGAGAAAAUUACUUAAGUUACUGAUUAAUUCCUAUUAUGUCUGUUUAAAGUAGUUGGUUGAAUUUAUAAAAGUAGCCUUAUAAACUCAUAGACAUAUAGAAUUUAAACUUUAACAUUGAGAAAUAUAAAAGUAAACACUUUAAUUAAAAAAUAAAAAUCCCCAAUAAUGCAUAUAGCUAGUUUUAUUAUUAUUUAAUUUAGCCCAAUUAAAUUUAUUAAAGUAAACUCUAGAAAUUCAUUAACCCAUAAAUUUUAAUUUUUAUAUUUUGUCGUUGCGUAAUUUAAAGUCACUGCAAUAAUUUCAAUGAUCCUUCAACUUUCCUAACAUUGAUGUUCAAUUGUAUUGAUUAUAUGCAUUAUCACAAUCAGACAUAAAUUUAAAGCUACCCAUAGAUUAUGUAUAUUAAGCAAAAUUUAGAUUUUUAUCCUCACUAACAAUUGAGAGAUAUCUAUUCUAAGAGAAGGUUUUUGGUGUUCUUGGAAACGUUACUCCUUAUUCAUUUAAUACUUGUCACACGUGUAUUCACAUUAUCAUGAUUGAUUGAAAUAUAUACAUGAUAAAGAUUAAUGAAUAAAAAAGAAACAGUGCUUUAGGAGAUAACACACAAUAAUUUUUCCUACUCCAUCCAGUGGGAAUAUCUACCUCCAUCUAAUUGUAUAUAAUAGGAGGAGGAAUUGUUGAGUCCCCACUUGGGACUCAAGCCAUUGGUCUAUUAACACCCGUUUGUGUUAAAAUUUUGGUUGAAUUUAUAGAAUACUAUAAAUGGUAAAAAAUGCAACCAAAUAAUAUUUCGUGACUCUGUCUUUUCAGUUUUAGGAACAAUGGUGGAAUCAUUUUUGCCGCUUGAAAAACUUACGGAAAAAUUAGGAUCCCGUGCUUUCCAAGAACUUUUAGCACUCUACUGUGUCAAAAAUGACGCAGAAAAGCUAAAGGAGACCUUAACCACUGUCAAAAGUGUGGUUUUAGAUGCUGAGGAAAAGCAAGUCCAUAGCCACCAGUUAAGAGAUUGGCUGGAAAAGCUUAAGGAUGCUUGUUAUGAUGCAGAAGAUGUGUUGGAUGAAUUUGAGGUGGAAGAUCUACGAAGGCAAGUCAUGACGCAAAGAAGCAUCGGAAGAAAGUUACGUAACUUUUUUGGAAGCUCAAAUCCGGUAGCUUUUCGUUUUAGAAUGUGUCAACAAAUCAAGAAAGUCAGAGAGAGGUUUGAUGAGAUUGCAAACAUGAUGCAUAAGUUUGAUCUCAUUGCACGACUUGAUGAUCGUAGUUGGCGAAUUGUGCACGAAGAGAGGGAAUCUACUCACUCGUUUGUGCGUCCAUCAGAUAUUAUUGGAAGAGAUAAAGACAGAGAAAAAAUUAUUGAAGCUUUGAUGCAAACAAGUUCUGGCGAAAGUGAAACUGUAUCUGUUAUUCCUAUUGUGGGAAUUGGAGGUCUGGGCAAAACUGCUCUUGCACAGUUGGUGUUCAAUGACCAAAGGGUAGAAGAGCAAUUUGAGUUGAAAAUCUGGAUAUGUGUUUCUGAGGAUUUUGGUGAGAGACAAAUUAUGACAAAGAUUAUCAAGUCGAUAACUGGUCAAAACCAAGGUGACUUGGAUAUAGAGCAAUUGCAACGAAUCUUGCGAGUUUAUUUGAAUGGUAAGAGAUAUUUACUUGUUAUGGAUGAUGUAUGGAACGAAGAUCCCAAAGUAUGGGAUAAAUUGAAAAGCUUAUUGUCGGGGGGUGCUAAGGGAAGCAAAAUUCUGGUAACCACACGUAGCAAUAAGGUUGCUUCAAUCAUGGGCACGAGGGGAGGCACUACUGGCUACAACUUACAAGGUCUACCAUUCGAGGAUUGCUUGUCUUUGUUUAUAAAAUGUGCAUUUAAAGAAGAGCGAGAUAAACAUUCAAACCUUGUAAAAAUCGGGGAAGAAAUUGUGAAAAAGUGUGGAGGAAUUCCUCUGGCAGUCAGAACACUAGGAAGUCUAUUAUAUUGCUCAACAGAUGAACAUGAUUGGGAAUAUGUGAGGGAUAACGAGAUAUGGAAGUUAGAGCAAAAGGCAAAUGACAUUUUACCUGUUCUGAGGUUCAGUUAUGAUCAACUACCGCCUCGCCUGAAACAAUGUGUUGCUUAUUGCUGUAUCUUUCCAAAGGAUUAUCAAUUUUCAAGUGUUUAUUUGGUUCAAUUUUGGAUGGCUCAAGGACUUCUCCAUCCACUUAAUGAAAAUGAUGAACUAGAUGACAUUGGCAUGCGGUCCUUGAAGCAACUAUGUUCAAGAUCUUUCUUCCACGAUUUGGUACGAGGAUUUGAGAUGUUCACUUUCAAAAUGCACGACCUCAUCCAUGAUCUUGCACAGCUAGUGGCCAAAGGUGAAUUCCUAAUAGUGAACUCUGACUGUCAAUCUAUUCCCAAAAGAGUCCGCCAUUUGUCAUUUGUGGGUGCUAAUGCAUCAAGAAAAGAUUUUUCAAGCUUUUUAUCUGAUUUAGGUCGUGUGAGAACCAUUUUCUUUUCAAUUAAUGAUGAGAAGGUAAGCCAAUCAUUUGUUAGAUCAUGCAUCUCAAAGUCACAGUUCCUGAGAGUGCUAAAUUUAAGUGGCUCUGCUAUUGAGGCUUUGCCAAGAGAGAUAGGUAAUUUGAAGCAUAUGAGAUAUCUUGACCUAUCAAGAAAUUAUAAAAUCAAGAAACUUCCAAAUGCCAUUUGCGAGCUGCAAAGUUUACAAACACUGAAUCUUGAAGAAUGUCUGGAGCUAGAAGAGUUGCCUAAAGAUAUAAGGUACCUUGUUAGUCUCAGAGUGUUUGAGGUAACCACAAAGCAGAAGUCUUUGCAGGAGAGUGGAAUAGGGUGCUUGGUUUCUCUUCGUUGUUUGAUAAUCUCUCAUUGCAGGAAUUUGGAAUAUUUGUUCGACGAUAUAGAUCAACUAAGUGUCCUUCGAUCAUUAUUAAUUGCUGAUUGUCCCCGUCUAAUCUCAUUGCCACCUGCCAUGAAAUACCUCAGCUCAUUGGAGACUCUAAUGUUUGGUGUGUGUGAAAGCCUUAGUCUUAAUUUGAGCAUGCAAUUGGAAGGGGAAGGAAGUCAUCAAGCUCGCAAUACCACAAGGCCUCACCUUCGGAAACUUCUCAUUGCCGGAGUAACACCGUUAUUGGAAUUGCCACAAUGGCUUCUUCAAGUUUCUGCUAGAACUUUACAAAACUUAUUUAUUGCAAAUUGUCCCAACUUCAUGGCACUACCAGAGUCACUGAGAAAUUUCGAAGCACUUGAGGGUCUUGUCAUUGGGAAUUGUCCAAAAUUGUCAUCGUUGCCGGAGGAUAUGCUUCACUUGAAAACAUUGAGGAUUAAAGGCUGUCCUGCACUGAGUGAUAGAUGCAAACUGCUAACAGGUGAAGAUUGGCACAAGAUUUCCCAUGUCGCUCACAUUAAGCUUGAUGACGAGAUAAUUAAAUCAAGUGAUAUUUAGGUAUGGAUUAAUCUCUCCUUUGUUUUUCCUCUUUUCAUUCGAGUUUUUACUUUUGAAUUUCUCAUCUAGCUAUACCGUUUAUAGUUUGAUGUUUUGUUCUGUUUACCGAACAGAAACUUGUUGAAUGUUAAUUAGUUAGUUAGUUCAAAUUUGUACUAAUUUCUUUUCUUCUAAUAAAUGAUUAGUUUGUUAAUACAAACUCCAGCAUAUUAUUUGGAAAACCGAACCAUUCUUGGGGUUAUUUAUAUCUGUUUCUAUAUCCAAACGGUUCAGGAAUUUUCAGAACGGAAGUUAUAAUGGGAUUUUCUUAAUUAGCCAGUUAUCUUCGUAUGGAACCUUAUUCACAUAAAAAAAGAGCUUCUGAAAUUUCAAUUUUUGUUAAUAUUUUAACUCGCGCCGAAGCAUCUAACAAUUUGUCCUCUAUUUUCUCUUCUUUUCUUUUCUUUUUCCCCAAAUAUUGCAGCUUUCUUCGGAGAGGUUCAGGGAAGCUAUAGAGACAAUGAAAUUAUUACUGUAAUGUUGUUCGGAACAGAGGUUCAACGGUUUUAAUGUUGUGUUUAAAUUUGCAAGUAUUAUAUAUUCAUUACUUAUGAUAAGUACAUCGAGUGAUGUAUAUAUGCGUGCUUGUAUGACCAUGACUGAUGACCUUAAAUAUGUAUGUGCCUGUGUUAUCAUGACUGAUAACCUUAAAUAUAAUACCAAUAAUGUUGUAGAAUUUCUGAAAUUCUCAUGACGAACAAUUUAUGUAAUUUAUAGUCUGUUCUUUCUCCUCCCUCGGCAGUCAGUAAUAUAAUUUGCAUUGCCUGCGUUGCUUAGCCCUACAUAAUUUGCAGAUAUAUAUAUAUAUUUUUUUGAAGAGUAUUGAUGUGUUGUAUUUUGUGCUUUGUGAUUGAUGACUUACAUUUUCCCAGGAAAAAAAGGGGAAACGGAUAGGCUUCUUGAAUUUAUCCAGUUAGUUUUUUGAAUGGUAACCUUUUAGGAUAUGACUCGCAUGUUAAUUAGUAGCAAUUGGCCUGCUACUAAUUAGAUAUUGAAUUUUGGCCUUGAGGUGAAAUUAGUGAGCAUGUUUCUUCAGGAUCUUUUUUUUUUUUAUAGGACACUUGAAGAAGAAAAUUCAUGUUUUUGCGAUGCUUCUUUCUCAAUACAAAAUGACUAAUUAGAAAGAAUACUUAUUAUAAUAGAACCUAGAAUUUGUAUGUAUCUUAGGAUGAAAAUUCUGUACAAUAAAAAGUCUUAAAGUGUUGUCGAUCGACACUAUCACCUUAUCAUAUUACCAUUCAAUUUUUCAUUUUUAUCUAAUUAAAAUGAAAAAUUAAAGUUGAUACGAGAAAAUUACAGAAGAUUGGAACUUGAAGGGCAAUGUUAAUUUUGAAACGGCACCAUUUAAGCUCCAACUACUCUAUAUAUCAGCUGAGACAGAGAGAGAUGGUUUCAGCAUGCAAGCAUGUAUGUUGAGAGAAACGGAUGAAAUCACUAAAUUGUUGGGGGUAGAGGAGGCGGGAGAAGAGAUGGUUUCCAUUUCGGCCCUAGCUUUCCUUCAUUUGGUUGACAAAAGUUCAUCAGAAUUCAAACUCCGUUACAUCGUUACGGGUCUUUUGUUUAUUUAUUUUCAAUGUCUUAUUAUGUUUUUAAUUAUGAGCUCAUGAGUUGAGUACUUGAGUUUGAGUCUAGUGAGUCCAGGAUCGUUAAGUUGGACCAAGACUCGUGGGAACAAUUAAUUUUUCUCCAUUUCUUUGAGAUUUGAUCAAUAAAUUAGUUUCAGUUAUACUAAUUAUUCAAUUAUUUUAAAUUAAACCAACUUGUGUUGAGAGGCUAAAGUUCCUUUAUUAACCUUAAACUCUUAGCUUAAAAUUCCCUUUAUCAUAGAGUUCAACGAAAAUAAAGGAUGUUUGAUCCUGAACAAGAUGUCUAUUGUUUGCAGCUGAUUUUGGGUCAAUGAAUAAAAAACCAUAAAACCAACCCAAGAGCAAUAAAUUUAUAUUUUUGUCGGGGAGCGGGGUACCUCGCUUGUUUAGACUUUUUGUGGAGCAAAGAAGGAUUGAGAUGACGGAGGAUAUGGAGGGGGUCUGACUUUAGGUGCGGAGGGCUGGUGAAACUCGCCUUAAACCUGCGAAACAACAAAAAACGAGGUCAGAGGUGGAGCUGGGGGUGGCCGGCGACCACACUCCGACGCUCAAGUCAGAGUUGGGUUAUCUCAGGUUAGAGAGCUUGCAAGCUCUCGGUAAUGGAGAUUUUGAAGUUGAAGAAACUCUAGUUCUUUCUGGUGAGUCUGUUCCCCCCUUGAUAAAAAUCAAACCUGAGUAUUUAUAUGGUGUACCCCGGUCGCCGUGCCACCUGGCGCUAUUUUAGUGGCGUUCCUUGCUGUAAUGUCAAGAAUAUUCUUAUUUUUAUGCGUAUGGCGGCUUAGACGUUUCAAAAAUAUGAGUGGAGAGCAAGUUUGUGGCGUAUUCACGUGCUGGGCGUAGUGGAGUGGUCCCGCGUACCUCUGCAAUUCCGUUGUAAUUUUGCAGGCGUAGCAGGAAAAGCUGGUGGUCCCAACUGUCACAAUAUCACACUUUUAGCGGAUUCGCUGGCGUGACAGGCGCCUGUCUCCUCUUUUGCGGCACGAGAUUUCCUUAUUUUUUGACACGUAUCAAACCGAUCUUUUUGAGAUUCGGGGCCCACAUAUCCCUCCACAUAUUUACGAACACUUUUGUAUCCUUUCAUGGUGUACCCGAGGUACCCGAGAUAAAUUAAUCUCUUAUCGACACGUGGCGCUUCAUCAUUGGCAUCAUAUUUCCUUCCCAAACAUCUAUUAUAGUCUUCUUAUAUUGUCUGUUCAAUAUCAUUUUUACGCCUUUAUUUUACUUUUGAGCUGUAACAUUGAGUCACAUUCUUUUUGCUGUUAUUAUUUCGAUUAGUGACUGGUACAGUGGUAUUUGAACUGCAUAGUAUGUCAAACUUUCGCUCUAUAUGCCUUAGAAACUCUGUACAUCACUAAUUUCCUAGCACAGGCCUUGUUGACUGUCAAAGAUUUGAAGCAUAUUUCUGGAUUGAAGGCUUUUCUGUAGUCGAUUUGAUGAUAAGCACAUUUAUUAUCUCCAAUAUUUUAAGCAGUAAUUUGUAACUAGUAUUUUAAACACGUCAAGAGCCGCUACAAUCAUAGAGCUUGGAGCCCAUCAGGCCAUCACAGCGGCGAGAGUACAAAUGAGUUCGUGGGUCUACUCACUAAUGGACUAAAGCCUAUUCACAAGAAUUCCAAGAACGGCUCAUCGCCACACGUCCCUGGGGUUUGUACGUGCGGCCGUCCACUUCAUGUUCAUCUUUUAUGUACAGAGACUGGACACGUGCUAGCAUCUUAAGAACGUCGUCACGACAAGAGCCGUUCGUUUCCACAGCCAUCAAAACAAGUUGGCUAAGGAAGGCGACUAGUCAAUAAAUCAACGGUCGGUGAGCGGCAGAGCCAAUGGGUCCGCCUACCUUGCAACACUUGCAUUGUACCCCAAACUUUGUCCUUUUCUGAUUCAGCCAAUAAAUUUGAUGACUAAAGUGUUCAACGGAUGAGAUGUGUUCAAUUGAUUAUUAACACCUAAAUCUCUAUUGUUUAUUAUAAUGUUAUAAAAACUAAAUUUUUUUAAAUAUUUGUUUAUAUAACUCUUACUAUUUUAAAUUUUUUAAAGUUUGAUCUAUUGACCUAACUUAAUUAUAAAAAUAAUUGAUGGUGUAAAGAUAAUAAUAUAAUAUCACAUAAAAUUUUUUAAAACACGUGAAAAUUGAUAAAUGUAAACAAUAUUUCUUUUGUUAUAUAAUCUAUAUUUAAUAUAGAAUAAAUAAACUGAAUAUGUAUUAAGAAUAUAGGUUAUUAACCUUGCAAUACUUUAGAAAAAUAUAAAAUAAAAAAGGUAAAAUUUCAAAAUAAGAAACAUGUAAAAAGUGUUAGGUUGUAAAAUUUUAUCAUUUUAAUAUUGCAAAACUUUACUUUUUUUUAAUUAAAUUUUUGUUUCUAACAUUAGUUGACAUGCUAGUUUAUUUAUACAUACAAUGUGUUAAUGUACCUAUAAAAUAUCAAUAUUACUCUUGAAAUUUAAGGGAGCCAUUUUAAUUUUUUAAAAUUUUAAAUGUAGCCCAACAAAGUUAUAGAAAGAUAAAUAAAGAAUAAUAUAAAAAGAAGUUAUUUUUUAAAGAAUAUUUCAAAAGAAUUCGAGAUUUAUGUUUCUUGAGAAUUGUCCUUUUUUUUAGAUAUUUGAGCUUAUGAAUCUUUUUGUAAUGAUAAUUUAUUAUUUAUUCUUGAUUAAAAAUAAUUGAAUAGUAAAUUUAUUGGUUUCUGAAUACUCUUUUAAAUGUAGAGCAGCAACUUAAUUUUUAUUAUGUCAGCCUAAAUUUUUUUAUGAUAGCUAAUCAACUAUCUCAAAAGACUUUGCCACCAUUAUGUUUACUUUUUCUAUAUCUUCUAGACCAUCAUCGCUCUAAGAACUAAGGAUUCGUUAGGCAUACUGUACUAUAUUAUAUUAUAUUACAUUAUUUAAUAUAGGUGUAUUGUAUUAUGUUAUAUUGCAUUAGCAGUAAAUUAUAAUAAUAUAGUACAACAUUUGGUAAUUGGUAUUACAUUGUAUUGCAUUAAUUUUAAAUUAAGAUUAAGCUACCAUUUUUUUAAUUUAUUAUUAAUUAUAUUAAAUUAUUAUUUUUAUAUAAAUAUAAUAUGAUAUAAUAAAAUAAUAUUAUACUAUAAUUUAUUUUUAUAUUUUUAUUUUUAUUAUAAAAAUAAAAAUAUAAUAAAAAUAUAUUUAAUGCUCAAUUAAGGCAAAAUAAUAAUAAUAAUAACAAUAGUAUUAUUUAAAACGAAAAAAUCUAUAAAGUUUAAUGAUGAUGAUGAUGAUGAUGAUGACAUUAAUAAUAACAUAAUAAUUAAAAUAAUAAAAUUAAUAAAUUUUAAUAAUAUUUAUAUUAAUAAGAUAAUAAUUAAAACAAUAAAGUUAAUAUAUAGUAAUGACUUAAUUAAAGUAAUCAUAAUAAUUAAAAUAAUAAAAUUAAUAAAUUUUCAUAAUAAUAAUAAUAAUAAUUAAUGACAGUAAUAAAAAUAAAAUAAUAAAUUAACAAAUUUUAAUGAAAACAACAAUAUUAAUAAGAUUAAUAGUGAUGAUGUUUAUGAUAGUAAUAAUAUAUAACAACAAUUAAAAUAAUAAAUUUCAAUAAUAAUAAUAUUAUUAUUAUUAAUAUAAUAAUAAUGAAAUUAAUAAAUAAUACUAAUAAUAACAGUUAAAAGUUUUUUUAAAAGCCAUUUUAUUAAAAAAGGAUUUAUGUAUAAAACUUUGUAACUUCUAGUACUUAUUCUAUUUUUUCAUAGAAUAUAAGAUAGUGCAGUGUAAUUAAUUCAAAAAGACUAAUGUUGCGUUUACUUUUUGGAUUGGAGUGGGAAUCCUGAGGAGUGGGAAUCCUUGGAUUAGGAGUGUGGAGUGGGAGUGUGAGUAGGGUGUUUACUUAGACUAAAUGAAAGUAUGGAUUGUCAAUUAGAAUCCCAAUUAUUUGUUUACUUUGUCUUGGAUUGGGAGUAAAUUAUUUUAAAUUACAAUUUUAUCCUUAUGUACAGAAUUAUAAUUUGUAAUUAAAAAAUUAAUAAAAAAUAUAUUUGGAAAAUAAAAUAAAUAUUUUAUUAUAUUUAUAAAUUAAUAAUAAUUACUAAUAUUCUUAAUUAUGUAAAUCAUAAUUUUUUAUUAAUUUUAAUUUAAAUUAUGUGAAUAAAAAUUAUUAAUAAUAGCAACACAAAUGAAAUAUUAUUAUUGAUAAUAUAGUACAAAAUUAAUAUUUUUUAGAAUAAAAUAUUUAUUAUUAUUAAUUAAAUAAAUAAUUAAUAUUUAUUAAAAUUAAUGUUUAAUAUUAUUAAUUUAAAUAUAAUAUUUAUUUAUUUUUAUUUUAUUAAAUUUAAUAAAAUAAAUAUGAUAUAAUUAUUAUUUUUAAUAAAUAUGAUAUUAUUUAUUUUAUGAAAUAUUAUUUAUUUAUUUUAUUAAAUUUUAUUUAUUUAUUUUAAUUUUAUAAGGAUAAAAUGGGAAGAGGGAGGAGUGGAUUCCCACUCCCACCUCCCCCAAUGGGAGUAGGAAUCCCACUCCCCACUCCAAAUUUGGGUGGGACCCACGGAUUCCCACUCCCACUCCCCUUUUUUUUGAGGUAAGUAAACACUGGAGUGGGAGGAAUCCACACUCCACACUCCCACUCCAAAAAGUAAACACUGCCUAAAUUCAGUGGUAUGCUGCAACCGUUGCAACAUAAUUUCAUCCCACUUUUAACAACUAUAAAAAAUUUUCAACGAUAAAAUAGGAGGCUAAGGAAACAAUAAAAAAUGUGCAGAAAAGUUGUUAAUAAAGAGGAAAAACGAAAGCUCCAUCUCCAACAAUGCCGCGUACAGCGUGGACCGACUUUUGCUGGUCGGAUAAGAAAAAUAAGAACCGUGUUCGGUAACACAGAUUGUGGCACGUGGUGUGCGUCUAUUGGGCCUGAGUUGUGGUGGACCCAUAUGGGCCAUGAGUGUUUAAAAUCCAAUAAUAUAUCCGCCAGGACUCAGCUUUCGUCUUAAGAUAUAAAAAACGCGGACAGCUGUUCACCUUGUUCAACGCGGUUACUUUCAUCAGCAUCGUCGUCAUUAUCAUACUAAACAAAAGCUUACCCCACCUGCGGUCAAUCCUUACCCACUACCGAAACUACCCUUGUCUCAACAUUGUUUUUGUCGCCUACUAAACUCUAAAGCAGGGCAAUUUUGGAAUGGAAUUAAGCUACAGCAGAUGAUUAACGCGACCGCAUUAGCUACAAUAAAGUAGGUUUAAUUUUGGUUGGUGAAUAGUCGAUCCAACCCUAGUUCUUAGAGAUCACUACAAACUGACUCCCUAGAUACACUAAAAAAAGUCCCAUUUCAGCACAUAUACAAGAGUCGAGAGCCCUCAUUUUUCUUUGCUUCAGCCAUUUUAUAGCAGUGUCAUCGCAAACACCUUGAGCUCUAUCGAAUCAUCGAAGACAAUUUGUGAUUAGCGGGAGAAUUACAAGAAAGGUACAACUACUUCAAAUUGAUAGAUCUGUUUAUAUGAUUCAGCGAUAGUUUUAUAUAUGGUUAGGUUAUGACAAUAAUCAAGAGUUAAUCAUGUACAUCAUCAGUUACAUAAAUGCACAUACUAAUUUAUUCCUCUACUUGCCAGAAUCAUACAUGUAAAAUGAGAUGAAUUUUAAUGUUUAAAACUUUGCAAUUCAUUAAAAUUUUAGUGGGAUAUUAAUUGGUAAAAUCACUCAGUGUUAGUAUAAGAAGUUUGUGAAUUGUGAUUCCAUCAGUUUAUGUGGGUGGAGCGAGAAUUAUUUUUUUAAAAAAUAAUUAAUAAUAAUAUUAAUAAAAAGACAUAAAUUUCAAGGUUUAAACUUUACAAUUCAUUAAAAUCUAGAGAGAUAUAUUGCGUAAAAAAUUUGUAUCUAAUUAAUUUUCAGGUAGGGGGAUAUAUAUAUAUAUAUAUAUAUAUUAAUUUGGAUAAUAUUUAGAUACCUCCCCUGAGGUUUGACAUAUUUUUAGAUAGAUGGCGAAGAUGUGUUUAUUAGUGAAAACCCCCCUGCCGUUAGUUACUUUUCUGCUUGACUGUAAGUUCACAUUUAAAAUACAAUAUUGCCCUUGACAGCUUUUGGCAUGCCUGACAUGCCUCAAACCUUAAUUAAAGCAUCUGCUCCAAAAUCACUGCUACAAAAUUUGAUGAAACUACCCUCACGAUGUAUGUUAUUUACAACUGUAUCAAACAAAUAAUACGAUAAUUUUCCCUUAAUUUAACAUUUAAAAUUUACAAAUAAAACCAAAUAAAAAGAAAAAAAAAAUGAACGUUAAAUUGUUGCCUUCCAAAGUCUUUCAAUAGAAUGCUAGAAUGCUGGAUGAAUCAGACAAAAGCAAACUAAUGAAAACUAACAGCAACUAAUAAGUUCUAAACUGCAGUGGUGUGCACUUAAUAGUAGCCACACUACAAACAAACAAAUUAAGAUUCAAUGCCACCAAAGUAAUCGAUAGCUUAUUUUAAUCCAUCACGGGUCUAGUGUCGUAACUACAGUACUAACAAACAUAAUAUUCCACUCAAAUAUGAAUUCAAUUGAAUUUAGCACAACUGAGAAGUGAAGCUUAAAUUGAAUAUAAAACCAAAUAUUGCAUUUCAGUAUCAAAUAAUUUAAACAGUAUUAGUUAUAGCUAGAAUUAACAACAUUCACAAAGCAGGCAAUAUAGCUGCACACAAUAGGCUCCUCGUAACUCAUGUCCAAUCUGCAGGAAUAGCAAGCUUGCGAUAUUACUUGUCUUUGGCAACAUGAAUUUUUCAUAUACAAAAAAAUCAAAAUAAGAAAAAACUCAAACCUAUGCAUAGUCUGAGAAGAAGAUGAUAUAUCCGCCUUUCUAUUUUUACCUAUCAAAAUGUGUUAUAUCAUCAAAUCAAUCCCUUCAAAUAUCAGUUGGUAGGAUUAGAUUAUGCUUCAAUGCUUUGGUUUUCAAUGCACCUUUAGUUGAUCUGCUUCAUUGCUGGAUGCUAUGGGUCAAGUAGUUUCAUUCUUGGGUAAGCUAUCUUGGUUUCUAGAAGCAAAAAAAAAAAAAAAACAAUAAAAAUGAAAAACGAUAUUAAACAUAAACCAAUGGUUACUGACUACAUUUAAAAAAAAAAAAAACUAAUGUGGAUUGGAAUUAAAAUCUCAGCAUUAUCACAGGCGUUGGACUAGCACAGGACAAUCUUCGCAGCUAUACCACUUUCAAGAUGCUGGGAACUACAACUUACACAUCCAUCAACACUUGUGACACAAUCCACAACAUAUAUAAGCAAUGAAUGAAGUUAUGCUCUACAGAGCAAUGUAUGAUGCACAAAAUCUUUAUCAAAUGCAGGCAAAAAAAAAAAUAAAUAGAAAACUCCACAAAAAUUUCAAGAUCAGGCAAAUUAAAAGAAAAUCAAAUAGAAAACUCCACAUCAUGGUGUCUUAGGUGAAAGGCAGCUUAAAAUUGUUUGCAUGCAUCAUCAUCAACUAACAUUAAACCCACUUUAACUCAGCAAAGUUCGGCAUCAAUUAGUCUACUUGUGUAACAAUUUUGAAGGUAGUGCUCUUCAAAUACAUCAGGAGCAUCACUAGACAUAAAAAUAAAACUAAGAAUAAAAAAUUCAAUUUUUUAACCCAUCUAAGUUGAAAUCAAGCUCUGAUUUAGCACCAACAUCAAACCCAUUUAAUCCAUCGUCAUUUAAGCUUCAGGAAAAUCACGGCUUAAUAAACUCAUCAACUUCUUUUUCUUUCCCCUUCCCCCUCCCCAAAAAAAAAAAAAAUUAGGCUUCUUCACUGUAAAUAAACCCACAACAAAUACUCGGACACGACCAACUAUCAAAAAAUGCAUUCUACAUUUUUAGUAAAGGCAGCAUAAAUGCACUCCAAAUGAACCCAAACAAUACUUGAAUUCGACACUGACCUGUUAUAAUUGGCUUCCCCAAAACAAUCUGAAGGUAUAAGACGCUGACAAAACUCAGAUCAAAACACAAGGUGCGGUGACUAUUGUUCCUUUACUUCACGUAAAGAUUGAGCACUGGACUGGUUUGCAUAUGACAAAGGUUUCGAUUUGAUUCUAACACAGAGCUAUACACGGAACUUGAAGAAAGAGAAAUAGGAAGCUUGAAAGAAAGAAAAAAAUAUAUAUUGAAAAUCCAACCAGGGGCAUUUUUGUCUUUCUAAUGUCAACUAACAGUCAAGCACGAAAUUAACUGACGGCAGGGAGUUUUUCACUAAUAAACGAAUCUUCGCCAUCUAAGUGCAACAAGCCAAAAACUGAGGGGAGGAAACUAAAAAUUACCCAUAUUAAUUUUCUAGUCUGAGAUUUUACAGUGCGGGAAAGUCCGGUAAAAUUUUAAAACCAUACGGUUUUGAAGACUUACAGUUUUAAGUUUUUUAAACCGUGCGGUUUUAAAGAUUUCUCAAACUUUUCCACACUUAAAAAUCUUGGACUGGAACACACACACACACACACACACACACACACACACACACACACACACACACACACACACAUAUAUAUAUAUAUAUAUAUAUAUCUAUAUAUAUAUUUUGUGAGGCUAUUUCCACACUUAAAAAUCCUGUAUGCAUUUGCUUGCCCCCAAGGAGCUGAAAGUUCUCAAAUUGUUUGUAGACGUAAUAGUUCUCCUGAUGUCAUUUGGCUUGCUAAUCUUUUUUGCUCGAAAAUUUGCCCAUUGUGUGGUCUUGACAGUGGGUGAAAUUGAUUCGUGGUUUCAGAUGAAGACAGCAGCAGAUGUGUGUGUGCUAUAUGACAUCGAGAAAAAGCAAAAGCCUUAAAUUGUUCAUCAACAUUUUCCAUUUCAGAAGAAUCUGUUUGUGGUUCUCCUGCUCGAGUGCCUACUUUUCAGUGUGCAAGCAUAUAUGUUGAGACCGGCAGAUGAAAUCACUAAACUUUUACAGUUGAUCUGAGGCUCCUCUAAAGAAUGAUUUGGAUUUUGGAAUUAAUUUGGGGAAAGGGAUUUUUUCUGGUAUAUGAGUGUAAGCAUUCCUUCAAUCACGUAGUUUUGUGCCAUUAACAUAAUGGCAAUUCUACAACUGGGAUAAUGAUAAUUUUGUGAUUGGGAACUCUUUACUGGUUUCUCUUUCGCCAUCUGUGUCUAUGAUUAAGGUUGUUUAAAGUGUUAUGGCUUUUAAUCUACAACCAUUGCGAAAUGGACUCACUAGCUGGCAAAUAAUAAAACAUAGUGCUGUCAAAUUUUGUAAGGAUUAUGUAUACACACUCUUUCGUCUUCAAUGCCCUGAAACCGGGUAACUACAUGUAUGAUUUUCAUUCAGAAAAACUGGCGAGAACUAAUGACUUUGCAGAUUAAAAAAUAAGUAGGAUUAUCAGAUUAUGUAGCAUUGUUAUGUAAUGUCUUGUGGUUUUUUUAAGGUUAAAGUUGGUUUGGAAAUUAAUUAAAAGACGAUUUUCAUUCUAUCAUAAGACGAGUUUUUAACAAGAGGAGAAGGUUCCUUUUAUAAUUUACUAAUUUAUACAACCUUUAAUAUUAAAAAAAAAAUUUAUAUAUUAAGGACGAUUAUUCUUGCUCACUUAGUAAGAUAUGUACAUAACAUAGAUGUGGUAAGCAAGGAAUCAAUUAUGUAUUUCUUGUAUCUGAAAAAAUGAAUCAUCCUUUAACGAGGGUUAUCAUCAAUUGCAGGUUUCUAGUUUGGUUGCUUGGUUUGAGGACUAUGAAUAUUACAUUGUCAUAACUAAAGGAAAGAAUAUUGUAUACACAGCACACUAUAAUUACCAAUUCUUUAUCUUAUAAUAUAAGUUCAUAGUGAUUAAUUUGUCCGUCUUCAGCCAAAAAAAAAAAAAAAGUCCCAUUUCAGCACAAAUACAAGAGCCCUCAUUUUUCUUUGCCCCGGUCAUUUUAUAGCAGUGUCAUCACAGACACCCCAAGCUCUGCCGAAUCAUCAUAGACAAUUCGUGAUUGCUGGGAGCAUUACAAGAAAGGUACGACUACUUCAAACUGAUGGAUUUGUUUGUAUGAUUUAGCUAUAGUUUUAACUUUUAACAAUAAACAAGAGACAAUCAUGUACAUCGUUAGUUACAUAAAUGUAGAUACUAAUUUAUUCCUGUACUUGCCAGAUCCAUACGUAUAAAAAUGAGAUAAAUUUUAAGGUUUAAAAAAUUUCAAUUCGUCAAAAAUCUAGUGCCAUAUUAAGCGGUAAAAUCACUUAGGGUUAGUACAAGAAGAGGUUUAUGAUUCCCCGACCCGUUUAUAUGUAGGGGUUGAGAAGGUAUUAGGCAAUAAAGAAUUAGUAAAAAUUAAUAAACAUAUUAUAAAAAGAAAUAAAUUUCAAGAGAGAUCGUAAAAGAUUGUAUUUAACUUAUCGUUAGUGGAAUGGAAUCUUUUUGGAGAGGCUAUAUUUGGCUUGGAACAUAUAUUAGAACAAGGUUAUUUGAACCCACCGCACUCUCCAAAAUCCACUUCUCAAUAAAAAUUUCAUUACAAAAUUUUUCUUAAUUAAAUUACUAUUUUAACCAAAUAUUAUGUUAAUUUAUCUCCCUAAAGCUUUUACUUUUUUCACCCUUUUUUCUUUUUUCCUCUCCGUCUCCCCAAUUUUUUUUUCUAGUCCUGUGUGGUUCUUAUACUUUAAGGCUUCUAUUGGAGUAAAAUCUCUAUUCAAAUUGCUUAUCCAAAAUUUUUUUUUUCUUUUAAAAUUUGCCUUUCCUUUACCCUCGAGUCACUAUUAGAUGUAUAUGCUCGUGAUGAAACUUUAGUAAUUGGAUUUCUAUUAAAUAUUUUAAUUUAAAAAAAUGAGAAGAUCACUAUAAAAAUAUCAAAAGAUCACAAACUUAAUUAUAGCAAUAAUUAAGGGAAUUAAAAUACUUACUAUUUCUGUUUGAACUUAUUAUUAUAAAGAAAGAAAGGGAAAAAAAAAGUCGCUGCAACUGCAUCAAUUGAGGACAUGUUAUGAAAAGUAUCAUAGAAAGUAGUGAGAGAAACAACUAAUGAAAAUUAAUGAUACUGAUUGAGGGUAUAUUGGGAAUAUUUGUGGGUUUUUUGAAUGAAAAAAUGAAAUUUUAAGUUGUGAUAAUGUGUUUAUUAUAUAAAUGGGUUUAUUCAGCAUUACAAUGGGUUUAAAUGGCUUUAUCCUUCAUAUUAUAAUACAUUUUUAUAUUACUAUAAUAGCCGUAAUAUAGAGGAUAAUGUAAUGAAAAUAUUGUUACUCUUAUACCUAUUAAAGAAACAAUAUUAUCUUGUACAGACAAGAACACUCCAGUGCUCAAGUGUAAAAGUUUUUUUUUUUUAUUACAUGAGACUAUUGCUCAAAUUACAACUCAUAUUACAUGAGAAUAUAACUAAUAUUUACAAAUCAGACUAUAACUGGGACCAACAUACAUCAAUGUUAAUGGAGCGCUGCCCAAAUUUUACUCCCACUGGGGUAAGGAAGCAGACUGCCUUCACUCAAAUUUAAUUGAGGAAGAAAAUACCCCCAUAAUGCAUUGUGGGGGUUCGAACUGCUGCUCUCCAAGUUGGAGAGCAACAGCUCACACCACUCGGCCAAAGGCCGAGUGCCUCUCAAGUGUAAAAGUUUUAGUAAAACGUAUAAGAACUCUUCAGUGUAAACAGAAUUUCGUCAAGGUGCUGUAAUAUAAUCUAAUGCUUUUUGGUAGUGUAAACUAUGUGUGCCACGUGUAGUAUUUCAAUCUUCACAAGUGGCAUUGUAAAUAGUGGCUCUUAUUUCAGUUCCUCGUAGGCACUCUAGAGACACACGUUAGCUUCGAAGCUAGUAUUUGGUCAUCAUGUGCUUCUUUUAAUGAAACAUGUGGUUCAUUUUAUCCUUAUACGAGAGCAUUUUGUGCAGAAUAACCAUGUCAAAUGCUCAUUUAUCAAGGACAUGUGUCGUGUUCUCAGAACAUAGUAAAAAUAUGAUACGCUAACCCAUGUACAUUCAUGGAAAAUCAAAUGAAAACAAAGAACUAAAAAAAAGUACAAAGGCUAAUUAAUAAUGUUUGAGUUUGAGAUGAUUAAUAUUUAAUUUUAUGGUUGUAAAGAUAAGAAUAAAAGUAGGUCUAGUGAGGACUAUCCUCAUAUUAUAACACUAUUUAAAAUAACUUUUGUUAUAAAAGAUUUUAUUCAAUUAGGUAUAGAGACCGUUCAAACUAUAUUUUAGGUACAAACUCAUCUAUUUGACAUAAUAGUAUGCCUCAUAAUAGGACUAACAUUGGUCAAAUCAACCUAUUUCGAUAAGAUCCAUCGAAAUUAAUAUUUAAAAGACUUAUCACCUCAUUAUACAAUACACAACUUUGCCAUCUAGUAGAGAAUGAUUGGUUGGCACACCAUAGUUUACAUAAAUAUUUCUAAUAUUUGAAUCAUUUGUUUGGAAAUUUUAAUCCUACCAAGAUCUUGUAAGUAAACAUAUCAAAUAAAUAGUAAAUAGAUAAUAUAUAGAGAAUAAAACCAAUCAUACAACACAAUAAUUUACCAGAGAAAAAUUCCUAUACUGGAGAAAAACCACGGCCGCCAAAGAUGACGAAAGAAAAUCCACUAUGUAAAGAUCAUUACAAUCACUCUAGUAUUUUCUUCACAUACAAAACCCCAAUAACAAAUAAUCUCUCAUUCUAGAAACUGUCUACUUGUAUAGAACUGAUUAUUGCAAACAAGUGAAUCUAACCUUCUUAUAUAUUGUGAUUGUUUCAUAUAAGAGAAGUAUUUAUUUCCUUAUAUAAUUUGUAUUCCUCCUUUAAUAAAUUCUUUGGAAUUACUUAUUCCUUAAACAUGAACCCCCCAAACAAAAAAAUUACUAAAUAAAAAAAUUAUAGGAAAUAUUUUAAUUUAGGAUUUACAAAUCCUCAUUGAAAAAAGAGAUAUGUUUCUUAAAAAUCUCCACUUUGGCGAGUUUUUUAAUUAAACGACAAAAUAUGAUCCGCCAUACAUCUAUGCAACCAUGUCGUCUCCACCUUCUUUAGUCUACCAAAACCACACUGACAUUGGACUAAUGAGAAUCACUCCACCAUGAGUAAAAUCUUGUCCUCUAUCUAGCAGCCAUAAUUUUCUACAUCGAGAAUCAUCAUACUUCACAUUAUCCAGAGUACACAUGUUUGGCAUAGGUUGAUCACAUUUUCGAAAUUACCCACUCUCAUGUUUGGCUUCUUUGAGAGUCCUCAACGAUCAACAUAAAAAGUCCACCACAUACCUUGCAUAAAUACUAAACUACAUGUUGUGUGCACAUCUUGUGGACCCAUUAGCAAUAACACAUCCUCUUCCACGACACACCAAUAGAUGACAUAAUUAGUUUCUCCUUCUAUUAAUUUACAGCUACUUUCCAAAUUUGCUAUAUUCUAACAAUCUCUUUUAAGAUGUUUUGAUUACCUACACUCCUCCAGGGGUUUCUACUAGUGGAAUAGGCCUGACAUUGCUCUUUGCUUUACUUGUACAGACAGAUUGAAUCAAUAUGUUAUUGACUUGAGCUUCCCAAAAGCCAAAAUUAAUUAUUCCAUCAAACUUUUCUAUUUCUAUCUUCAUAGGUUUUGAAAACCUCCUUGUUGACGUAUUUGCUCUACAUUGCAGCCUUAGCUCUAUUAUCACCUGCUAAGAAAUAAUUAAUCUCACCUAAGAUUCGCAAGAAAAAAUAUGAAAUAAAUAGUAAAUAGAAAAUAGGUGGAGAAUAAAGCUAAUAAAAUAAUACAAAAAUUUACAAGAAAAAUUUCUAUAUUGGAGAAAAAUUAUAAUAGCUAAGGACGAUAAGAGAAAAAUUUAUUAUGUAAAUAUUAUUAUAAUUACUCUAGGGUUUUUCUCACACCUAAAACACCAAAAGCACCUAAUUUUAAUAGAACUACUUUUCUCUCACACUGAAAACUAUUUACUUACAGAUCAUUGAUUGUUGAAUUAUGCAAAGAAGUAAACUCAAUCUCUAUAUAUAUAUGUAGUGAUUAUUUCAUAUAGAAGUUGUAUUCCUUUCCUUAUAUGAUUUGUAUUCCACCUUGAAUAAGUUAAGUUCUAAAGAGAAAAUUACUUAUUUCUUAAAUAUGAAUUAUCUUCAAUAAGAAAACUGAAAAGUGUAGAAAAUUCCUAAUUUAAGACUUAAAAAUCUUCUUUGAAAAAAGAGACAUCUCCCAAUAUCCUCAAAUCCUCCUUACAAUGCCACCAAUCUCUUUUGUGACUAGCCCAGUUGAAACUUUUAAUGGAUGGGCUGUAAUUGCGAAUAUCCAAAUACAACAAAUUUCCAUAGGUAUAUUGGUAGAUUGAAUGACAACUAACAAUGGUAGACUCUUGUGCCAACUCAUGGAAUUCAUCAAUAAGGCCUUGGCUGAUCCAUCUCAUGACUGGUAGAGUUCAAACCCCCGCUAAAUAGUAAAAAAAAUAUUUGGAUUAUUAAUUACUCUUUCUUAAGUCUAUUUAAACUUAACUUUGAGAAUUAUGAACGUCUACACUUUAAUUAAAACAAUAAAAGCCCACCCGUUUGUAUUUAAAAUUUUGUUUGAAUUUAUUCACGAGCAACAAGAAUAGUAUAAAUGGAAAAAAAAACCAUCAAAUAAUAUCCCAUGACUAUGUUUCUUCAAUUUCAGGAGCAAUGGUGGAAUCAUAUUUUCCGAUUGAAAAACUUUUGGAAAAAUUAGGGAGCUUUGCUUAUGAAGAACUUUUAUUGUUCUGCGGUGUCAAAAAUGACUUACAAAAGUUAAAGGAGACGUUAAUCACUGUCAAAAGUGUGGUUUUGGAUGCUGAGGAAAAGCAAAUCCAUAAUCACCGGUUAAGCGAUUGGCUGGGAAAGCUUAAGGAUGCUUGUUAUGAUGCAGAAGAUGUGUUGGAUGAAUUUGACGUGGAAGAUCUACGAAGGCAAGUCAUGAAGCAAAGAAGCAUCGGAAGAAAGUUUCGUAACUUUUUUGGAAGCUCAAAUCCGAUAGCUUUUUGUUUUAGAAUGGGUCAUCAAAUCAAGAAAAUGCGAGAGAGGUUUGAUGAGAUUGCAAAAUUGAGGGGUGAGUUUAAUCUCAUUGAACGACUUGACGAUCAUCGGCGAGUUGUGCACAAAGAAAGGGAACCCACUCACUCGUUUGUGGUUUCAUCAGAUAUUAUUGGAAGAGAUAAAGAUAAAGAAAAGAUUAUUGAACUAUUGAUGCAAACAAGUGACGGCAAAAGUGAAACUGUGUCUGUGGUUCCUAUUGUGGGACUUGGAGGUUUGGGCAAGACUGCACAUGCAAAAUUGGUGUACAAUGAUCAAAGGGUAGAAGAGCAUUUUGAGUUGAAAAUCUGGAUAUGUGUUUCUGAGGAUUUUGAUGAGAGACAAAUUAUGCCAAAGAUUAUCAAGUCAAUAACUAGUCAAAACCAAGGUGACUUGGAUACAGACCAAUUGCAACGAAUCUUGCGAGAUUCUUUGAAAGGUAAGAGAUACUUGCUUGUUAUGGAUGAUGUAUGGAACGAAGAUCCUGAAGCAUGGCGUAAAUUGAAAAGCUUAUUAUUGGGAGGUGCUAACGGAAGCAAAAUUUUGGUAACCACACGUAGCAGGAAGGUUGCUUCAAUCAUGGGUACGAGGGGAGGUACUACUGGCUACAACUUACAAGUUCUACCAUUCGAGGAUUGCUUGUCGUUGUUUAUGAAAUGUGCAUUUAAAGAAGAGCAAGAUAAACAUCCGAACCUCAUAAAAAUCGGGGAAGAAAUUGUGGGAAAAUGUGGUGGAAUUCCUCUGGC
RNAcentral lists this long non-coding RNA (53527 nucleotides) under Citrus maxima (pomelo). RNAcentral describes it as "long non-coding RNA (CMAX_LNC003923)". The stretch from base 25627 to 25733 matches the Rfam family "Plant small nucleolar RNA R71". The record is from RNAcentral. Lineage: Eukaryota; Viridiplantae; Streptophyta; Magnoliopsida; Sapindales; Rutaceae.